RNAcentral lists this long non-coding RNA (53358 nucleotides) under Brachypodium distachyon (stiff brome). RNAcentral's name for it is "long non-coding RNA (BDIS_LNC003394)". Lineage: Eukaryota; Viridiplantae; Streptophyta; Magnoliopsida; Poales; Poaceae. The record is from RNAcentral.
AACUCGAGGCAAGGAACCCAUUUGGAGCGGAUGAGAUACUCGAUCUGCUUCAGGAGGGACUCCACGGUGAGAGGUGGCAGGUAGGAAAGGGUCUCGAACUUCUUGAUGCCCUCAAUUGGCCACACCUGCAAUUAGAUUAAAAUUAGCACACAAAGUGUGAUUUGAGACACAUAUCGAUGGAGUAUUUCACUUCACACAUAUCGGUAUGAUGAUAUACAUACCUGCAUGCUCGUGAUCCUGCCACCGUUGGAGACGCUGCCGAGGCCAGCGCCGGCAGAGCGGCGGCUGACGGGGAGCCCGGCGGUGGACUUGAGGCCCCGGAAAGGAGCAACAGCGGUAGCCGCCGCCGACAUCACUGUCGGACCCAUAGCAUCCACCCUUGUAUCACUAGAGUAUAUCUACUUAGCUAAUAUGCUAAGUUUGGCACGGAGAGAGGAGGUCGAGUGGACUUCAUUCCUGGUCACAAGGGUUUAUAUAUACCAUAUAACAUACGAGCAAUUUGUGAUUAAUUUGUUGUCGUUCUAGGAGAUGUGGAAAGGGUGGAUGCCGUUCGUUGGUUGCCUUAUCCGUUCUAGAGAAGGGAUGGAUGACCGACGCUCGCUCAGCCGUCUCCUUCGUCCAUCGUUGCCAAUCUUUCUAGCUAUAAUUGGAAGUUCCAAAGGAACAUACGGUUUCAUGCCUACUUCCAUCGGCCUAUCAUGUACCAAUCCAAUAAAAGGACAUCGUUCAACCAUCAAUCCAUGUGUGUGUAGUAAGUGAUUGGCUACGAACCUUCAGCUGACUUGCUUUAUUGGAUAUUUCUGUAAAGCGAGUCCACGGUGUGUGGGUUUAAAAUCUCGUGGCGGCAACUGUUGACGGGUGCAAAUAUCAGUAGCCUUAAAACAAUAAACUUUACUCCGUCCCUUCCGAAAUGCAAGAAUGUCCUAAGUCAAACUUCUUAUGCUGCAGGACCAUAGUUUUUGAGGUGUUCUUCUCACGAGUCCACGAAGAACGGGAAUUUUUUGGUGUCGGGUAAGGGCGGGGGAAUAUAUAGAUGCUAGCAUCAGCAUGACGGGCUAACGGGUCAGGUAGGAUUUUGGACGACGUAGCACCUGACAUGUGGGGGCCACAUGUAAGAAAACCUGUCAAAAUGUCAUAACCCUCUGUUUUGGUCAACUUGAUACAAUCUGAUACAAAACGUGUGGUUUUCCUGACAAAUUAGCAAAUUUUGUGUCUCUGUGAGAAGCACGCCCCAAAAACUGUGGUUCCGUGAAAUUUAUUCACUAGUUACACUUUAUCUACAAACAUCUACGAUUCUAAAAUAGUUUGGUAUAUAUUUUCCGUAAUAUAAUUAUUUGAUAUUCUAAAUUCGGGGAUUUGUUCUUAUAAACUUGGUCGAAGUUUAAAAAGUUUGACUUCGGACAAAGUUACGACUUUUUACAUUUAGGAAUGAAGGGAAUACAUUUUAGUAAAGCAAUUGAGGAAUUGACAGAAUUAAAUAUCUUAAAUUAUACUGGUCCAUCGUGUACUCAUGGCAACAAAAUAAAUUUAUAGUCGAAAAGUUGGACCAUGAAAACUUAAAACGUGAUACAUUAAAAUUGUUGAAUCACUCUACAUCUUGUAAUUUUCUCUUGCAACCUUCUGGCGCGCUACUCAUUCCACAUUUGGUACUAUAUGUAUAAAUGUAUAUAUAUACCGCAUUAGGAGCCUCUAUUACUGUUUUAGUAUAAAUAGCAGUUUCCAUCGACUAUGCACUUCAUUAACUUUUUCUUCACGAGAUAACUUGCUUAUCGAUUUUCUUUAAUUAUCCAGAUGGCUUCUACUAGUUUGUUUCCUUGCUUACUGGGAUUUCCGCAGACUUUACGGUUAGGUAUUAUUGUCGUGUGGACAACACGGUGGCCGGAUGUUGAGAUGAUGAUGUCCUUUAUCUCCGUGUUGCUUCUGAGGACUGCGGAUCCGAGGCUAGUGGCGGUAUGGGAUGCCUCUCUACCUCUUGAUCAGGUCAAUCCGGCUCAGCAAGAGGCGGAUCGAUGGUGGCCGGUGUGACUAGAAGCGGGGAGGUAUAUAUGAAACGUUUCUUGCUUCCAGCAUCUCUUCUAGCGGUAUAUAUGUCGUCAGCUGGUUGAGGGAUUGAUGGCAAUCGAUCAUGGCUACGAUGACAUGUAUACGCGCCGGUAGGAACACAUAUCAGGCAAUGUCGAUGCACCUGCAUUGGGCCCUUGCUGAAGGUGGUGGUGCGUAUGGCAGUCUAAAGAUUUAAGACACAAAUUUAGACUUAAAACUUAAAUAAUCAAUUUGUGCCAGCGGGAAACACACAAACACGUACCGGUAAAUUAUCAUAAUCAGAAUUUGUCGACGAAUUUGAUAUUCUUUUACAAAAUAUACUUAUCUUAAUAUGUAUAACCGGAGUUUAUAUUACAUGCCCCUCUCCCAACGAUAGUUGUAGUACUCUUAUAAUAGUAGUACUCAUGAAUACAGUUAAUCCGGGUUGUUGGGAGAGAUCACAUGCAUAAAUACAACAUGAAACAAACGUGUGAAAAAGGUACAUAAAAUCGGUGUGACCCGUUCUUGUAUUAUAAGAAAUCAACUUGCUUAGGCCUUGCCGGACUCCUCACAACCCGGUGGCUUGAAGGCGAUGAAGCUGAUGCACUGCACUUGCCUGGUGUUGUCGAAGCCGAUGAUGCGGACAUAGGCGUCAGGGUACUCCUUCUUCACCUCCUCCAGCUCCUUUAGCACCUGCGUGGCGUCGGUGCACCCGAACAUGGGAAGCUUCCACAUUGUCCAGUACCUGCCGUCGUAGUACCCGGGAGAGUUGCCGUGCUCACGGAAGACGAAACCGACCUUGCUGAACUCGAGGCAAGGAACCCACUUGGAGCGGAUGAGAUACUCGAUCUGCUUCAAGAGGGACUCCACGGUGAGAGGCGGCAGGUAGGAAAGGGUUUCGAACUUCUUGAUGCCCUCAAUUGGCCACACCUACAAUUAGAUUAAUAAUUAGCACCGAAAGUAUAAUUUGAGACACAUAUCAGUAUUUCACUUCAACAUAUGUACAUGAUGACAUACAUACCUGCAUGCACCUGAUCCUUCCACCGUUGGAGACGCUGCCGAGACCAGCGCUGGCUGAGCGGCGGCCGAUGGGGAGCCCGGCGGUGGACUUGAGGCCCUGGAAAGGAGCAACGGCAGUAGCCGCUGACGACAUCACUGUGGGAGCCAUCGUACACGUACGUAGAUAGCUAACAAGAGGAGGCAGGCUUGCUUGAGUGCUCUCUAGCUACAGCGGCUUAUAUAACUGUAGGCUCCCCACCCAUCCAAUAUCAGCACAAGAUCUAGGAGGGGUGGCUGCAGUUCGCCGCGCGGAUUUGCCCAGGCCACGCUGGCAUCCUACGGAUCAGGUCGGGCGCCACAUGGCCGCACGAAAUGGCGCGCGUUAUCCUCUGGACGGAUACAAUUGGCUGCAACGCACUCUGCAAAUCAUGCCAUGAAGUGACCAAUUUUCACCUAUCAGGAUAGAUCCAAUGUGCCACGGCAUGCACUCAAAAACAGAACUUGCUAAUCCCUCCAAUCCAUAAAAAAUCUCGCCCACUUAUUAGAAAAUUUGUAAUGAGUUAAUGCAAAAUGAGCAGCACUUUUUAUGAACUAGAGGAACAACAAAUUAAGAGAAACUCUUCUAAGAUCUUAUCGAGAACGAAGCUUGCCCCCGCGUCGCUCAGUCUGGGGCGACACGGGCGGCAACCACACCAGCCCCGGCAGCAGCCUCUCCCCGUCCUCUCCUCCCCCUCGCCGCCGCCGGGCAAAGCCCGCACGGGGACGGCGGCGGCGGGGCUGUUUUUCUUGGCGGGGGUGUCCUAGAGCUCUUGGCUGAGGCGUUUGAGGUGCUGCCUCAUCGUGGUCGCGGCGUCUCCGGCCCGAUCCGGCAGGCUAUGCCUCGUCUUCGGCUAGAUCCGGCCGGCUUCCUCCCGGAUCCGGUGUUUCCCCUCGUUCUUCCUCUCCCUGGUGCUCGGUCUGCUCGUGGCUGCGCGGCUUCACGGCGGCGCUCUUCGGCCGGAUCUAGCUACUCGUUGGCCAGAUCCGUCAUCUCCUCCGGCUGAUCCGGCAUGUCCCAGGUCUCUUCGUUUCCAUCAUUUUUCCUCUCAGUUUGGUGAGGCGGCUGAUUGAACUUCACCGGCGGCAGAUGGGCUGCUGCUGCGGCCAUACAUGGUCCAAGUCGGUCCUUUUCGAUGCCAUGGUGGCGUGGUUUUCAUUUUCGGUCGCGUCUUCGGCUGCUGCCCGUGUGCGAGGUAUGGACGUCGGCUCCGGUGUUUGGAGUGUUGCUCUGGAUGAAAACUGCCCGUGUGCGAGGUAUGCCGAAGACAACGAUGUUGUAGCGCCGUUUUCCUUCUUGGAGGUGUCGUCGAAGAGCUUCACUUUCCCUCACUUUGAUGUUUGGUGUCUUCGGGUGAAAACCUAAGAUUUGGCUAUGGCCAGAUCGGGCGACAACGGCGUUUUUACGUCGAUUUCCUCCUUGGGGGCGUUGUCAUGGAGACAACGACUCUUGGUGGCAUCGGGUGGUGUGGUCCGUCUAUGGUGGAGCUUGUUGUCUCGAGUUGUUGAAGGUUUGGUGGUGUCUCUUCUUGUGUCAUGUGUUAGCUUAGGCUGUCGGUUUGUGUCCGGCGAGAACGUGCGUUUCUUAUCCUUUGGUGCGGUUUCGGCAUGUGAUGCCUUUCGUCUUCACUAUCGUCACGUAGGUGUCGUGUUGUAUUCUCGGUGGUGUGUGGUCUUUCGGCUUAGCCAACGGCAAGUGGAGGUAUGAUCUCGGUUGUGUAUUGCCCUUCGACUUCAUCGGCGGCACAUCGGCGUCGCGGUGGGUCUCAGUGACGCGCAGCCCUUCGACUCUGCCGGCUACGUAGGUGUCAUGGUGCGGCCUUGACCCUGUGCUUCCCUUCAGCUACGGCGACGACAUAGUGUCUGGGUGGGCUCGUCAGAUCGACGCCUUUCGACUACAUCAACUAUGCUCUUCAUUGUGCAUUUAUUUUGCCAUUGACAUGUUUCAAGAGUCUAGGUUUUUUCCUUGUGUUUCUUUUAGCAAAUGCUGUUCUGCAGGCUGGCUUUUGCCCACCCGAUCAGAAAAGAAAAACAAAUUAAAGGCUAAAAUCAAGCGAUGUUAUAUUCCCUUAGCUAUUACAAAUAUGGAUGAUAAGAGUUAUUUAUCCUUUUUCAACGAGUAACCCUUUACUUGGAAGUUCCAUGUGCAUGGCGCUGCAAGAAAACAAACAUCAUAAUGGGGCAAGACUUUUUUUUUUAUAAACAUCCAAUUUGGGUUAAAGUCUGAAAGAAUUUGGCUAUCUGAACUUUCAGUUUCCACAUUCUUUUACCUACUCAAUUCUUCAGCCAACAGGAUCAAUGGCGACCUACUAACACCAACCAGAACACAUGGGUCACAAACACGAAAAAGGGCUAGAAGGCUACUUAUACACACUCAUGUGUACUGCGAGCAAAAGAACAUAAUGUACAAAACUUUACAAAAUCUAGGGAAUUAAGACCUUCCCGUAUGCUGUUGCUGCCGCUGCUGCUUCAUGCUGGCUCUCCUGGCAACAUCCCAUGGUUUGUGAGGCACACCUACACCUUGCUGGGAUGCGAAGAACGACUCGUAUCCCGGGGAGUCGAAAGCAAAACCAGUGUGCUUGGAGUUCUCUCGAGGGAGCAUGGAGAUCGCAUAGCUUCUUGCUUCUUCUGGGCUCAAAUGGCUCCUCUCAGGCAGAUGUAUCAUGCUGUAUUCGUGGGGGUCAUCCUUGUGCAUCUCCUGGAUUACUUGGUAGUCAUAGGGAAAGAGCCAUCUUUGGAGCCUGAGAAAGCACACAGCAUCAAAGACAACAAUUGAUUCAGCUACUUCAGUAUGUACAAUGGAAGGAAUAACAAACGGAUGGCAUUAACAAACAUAUAAUUUUGCAAAAGAGCUGGUAUCUUACGAUAGAUACAGGAAAUCACCAAAGAGAGCGAUGACUGGAGCAAGCAUUAGUGUGAGGUAGAAGAAAAAGGUACUCAUCAGAACAUAAAUCACAAAAUAUACAUUUUCCUGCACAAGGUACACAGCAUUAAGUCAAUGCAUUUGUAGCAAGUAAUCGUCAUCAGCAGUGUAAUAGCUACAUUAUUCACCCACCUGUCGGUCAAAUGAUGUCAUUAUCGCAGAAUAUAUGAAGAUAAACAGAAACCAGGCCGCUAUACUGCCAGCUACGCUGAAAUAAUGCCAUCUCGUGAUAGAAUUGCACGACAUGAGGAGACGUAGAUUAACAGUCACCACAACACAAGUAAAGGCCAUCGUGCUAACAUCCCAUUGACCAAGAAUCUUGCCAGAUGAACCGUGACCAUGCUGACUUGCAGCUGCAGUAAAGUAAUAGAACACUAUUGACUGGUAGAAGGCAAAGAAACCCCACACCGCAAUCACUUUCCACCGGAAGAAUGUGUUCCUAAUUCCUUCUUGGUAAAGUUGUGGGUAUUUUUUUGAUAGAGAUGCACUCACAUCCUGAAAGGGUUCAGUUUAGUGAAUGUAGCAAGGAGCGUCACUCCAGAACAAGAAAAGUAGAACAAAUACAAGCAACCAUACCUUAUCAAACAACCCAACCAUAAUUACAGGUAGUGCCGUGAAAAUGACAUUAUACAGAGACUGGAACCAGUCAUCAUAAAAUCGCUGACCAGAAAAGCCAGUUUGGAAAGUGAACCAGAACUGAGUUAGUGUAAAAGUCAGAUUCUUGUAGAAGAAGUAUGUGAUAACCUGAAACAGAAAGUGUCAAUGUUAAAAAAAUUAAACUACACAGAUUGGCAGCUACAAGCUAAGGGACCAAAGCAUACCUUGCACAAUCUCAAGUAUGACCACCGCCCAUGUACAAGAAGUAAAUCCGUAAGAUAUCGAAACUGAGCAAUGGCAAAAUCACUCGCCAUAACAGCUUGCAUUCCUUCUUGUCCGCUGAUGCCAAUACCAACAUGAGCAGCUUGAAUCAUACUCACAUCAUUAGCACCAUCACCAAUACUGAGAGUUAUCUUACGUGCACCUUUCCUAACUAAACUUGCAACCUACAAAUGUGUCAACAUUACAUGUUUUGGCAUCAUUCGAACCCAACAGGUUAUUAGGAAAUAAAUCCAAAAAUAAGAGACUUUGAGAUUGCUGAUGGGAUGGGUAACAACCAAAUAAGCACAUAUACAAUAAGUUAAUUAAUACUACCUUUGUUUCAAAAUAUUAUACCAAAACGUCUUAUAUUUUGAAACAGAGAUAGUACUUAUAGUACAAGAGUGUACAGGACAUUUAGUUAAGAGGCCAAAACUAGAAUAGCAAAAGCAACCAAUGCACAGUGGUUAAUAAUGAUCUUGUGAAUCAUGCACAAACUAUUUUGUUGUCAAGGUACAAAAUUGGAUCCUUUAAAAUGUAAUAAUAUCAAUAUCCCCCGUUUAUUGCCCAAGCAUCCUGAAAGGCAUGCAGCUGAGAGCUGCAGACCAUACUGCUAAUUAUUUCAUGGGAAAAGGCAAGGCAUGCAUGAUAAGAACGCUAAAAGCGAGAAUUGAUAUUUACCUGUGCCUUUUGCAGUGGAGAAACUCGACAACAUACAACUGAUUGGCAAAUUAAACUCAAACCAAGAAGAUUCACACGCAGAGCUGGGUCUAGAGCGUACAUCAAGCAUCGUCCAUCAAUAAUGAAAGCCAACUUUCGUCCUGGCGUGCUCCUCAAAGAACGGUGGGCUUCCUCAAGGUAACUUCUCAGACUCUGUUUUACCGAGUCUUUGAUAACACGUGCAAUUUCCACAGGGUCUCCCUGAAAAUGACUGGAACAUUAUUCAUGGCAAAGAUAUGUGCAUAAGUUGAUUUACAUCAAUCAGAUACAAAUGCUAAAUUGCUAAUUAUGGUUGAUCAAACUGCAAAACACACGAGAUAUCCAAAAGGCUAUAUAAACAUGAUGGAGAGGCUAAAGCACUGAAACAACAGAAUCAACAUAAAGUAUUUUGUACUAUUAUGCAACUAAGCCUUUUGUCCCAAGCAAGUUGGGGCAGGCUAGAUAUGAAACCCAAACAGAAACUAAAGCAAAGUGCAGGUAACAAAAGAGCAAGAGAGUAAAUCAAGGUUCAGGCACAUGGACUGCUGAUUUCCAUGCAGCCCUAUCAAAAGCAAAAUCUCUAGAUACAUUCCAGUCCUUCAAGUCCCUUUAACUGCCUCCUACCAAAAGCAAAUAUCAUAGUAAUCCACCAACCAAAGUAACAAGGGAACUACUUGUAACUUCUUAGUUCACAAGUACAUACCAGUUGAGCUAUCCAAUUAUUCUAAAUAAUAUGGUUUGAUACCUUUACCAAAGUCUCAACUUGUAUUCAUUUUAAAGCUUAUACAAGAUAUUAUAUGUUAUGGCUUAACAGUCUCCAUGACACAAUAUGGCUUGACUUCACAGUUUAAUUCUAUAGGAUUAUCUUACCCUGUCUUCAGCAUCUCUAAUUGCAUCUGUCUCAGAAGUGAUGAUGAAUUGUUUUGUAUCGUUAUUCACCAGGCUGCACGCUGCAGAGCAAAAACUAAAUAACUUCAGAAGCUUUUCUAUGUCAGGUGAAAGAGAGAGAAAAAGACCGCCCGCCCCCCACCAAUAAUCCAAAACUGAGCUUCUAUUAGACCCCUUAAGAACGAAACAAGCAUGCAAAUUGAUCUAUAUAUAAUUAAAACCUCACCAUAUGCUAUAUUAAUUGCUGUUUCCAUUUUAUCUCCAGUUAGCACCCAAAUUUUUAUGCCAGCUGCAGAAAGAGUUUCAAUGCAGGCUGGAACCCCUUCUUGCAGUUUGUCUUCUAUUGCAGUGCACCCUAUCAAUAUAAGGUCCUUUUCAAUCAACUCAGCCACCUACAGGGGAAGAAACAGAAGGAAAUUAUAUGGCAAUGUCCCAGCAAUAUCUUAAAUCAGAAUAUACAUUAAGUCUAUUACUUCAAAUUCCUUUUUCCUAGAAAUCACAGUGAACUUAGUACAUGAAAGAAUGAAAGGAUAAUGCUUUUCUAAUGGGGAUUUGAAAAAACAUCAUAAAAAUAAUAAUAUAAAGUACUGUAUGUUCUUGUUCUAGAUAAAUUACAAAUAUCUUUUGCUCAUGAUCCUCUUUCCUGACUAAAAAAUAUAUAUUAUUAUGUAAAAUACUAAUGUUCUAUGGCAGUACAAGAUAAUAAAUUAGCACAAAAAACUAUUAAACUGCAAAUGUCAGCUGUUAGGGAUGGAUGACAUGACUCCUGUAGUUUUGGGGGGAGAGAGAGAGGAGACACACUGAACAAAUUACUUCCUUCGUCUCCAAAGAUUGCCAUGCCACAUUCUAUUCGGUCAGUCAACCUUUUACAACUUCAAAAUUAACAAUUAUAAGUGAAUUGAAUUACUACAUGAAAAAUAACAGCACUCAAUUUGCUUGCAUAAUAAUUUGUACGCAAAACUUUUGCUUGUAUAUUAGCAUAGAAAUCAUAGCCAGAGUUUUAUGUUGGGAGAAUAUAAAAUUAAAAAAUGGCCUACAUUUGUCAGGUACAUUCAGUUAAUUGUUUCCAAAACCAAAUUAAUUUUCAUACAUAAAUACCAAACGGAUCAAUAGCAUGCUCAACAGUGCACAUGAGACUCGAGUUCAGUACUGGAUGACAGAAAGUAAAAAAAAUCAGGCAAGCACUAGAAGGUGGAGGGGAAGUAAUCGAAAUUCAAAUCACAGGGACUGUUCAGCCUGUAUACUCAACAGAAGAGGAUGGUACACAUACCUCAUCAAGCUUCUUAUCACGAUCUCGUAAAGAAGAUUUAGCUUGAACAAACUUCUCAUUCCAGCUUUCGUACUGCUCCCUGCUUAGAUCUCGAUAAGCAAGGCAAAGCGUGCGCAAGCCAGCAGAGCCAAAUUGUUCUAGAUGUUCUCUGCUUGUCUUUUUAAUGUCAUGAUUUCCAUCAGCUAACCGUUCAAAAAUGACAUUAUCAGCGCCCUGUUACACAACAUUUGUAUAAGGUUAGUGCAUCAAUCUACAAAGUGAUAGCUACAUAAAGAUUCUUUUUUCUUGUAUUACCUUGCAAUACAGAACAAGUUUUCCAUUUGGGAAACGGCAAACCACAGAUUGGCGCUUUCUUGUACUGUGAGUGCAGUAAAGUGUGAAGUGCAGAACAAUGAUUUCAUCUUGUCAAAUUUAAAUUGAAAACAGAUAAACCAGACCUGUUGAAUUCCAAAACAUUCAGAAUUUCAUAUGCAACAUCUUGUAUACUCCCCAUCCUCUCAACAUGUGAUUCCCGAACCAAGACUGUGGUUGGCGUACGUCUACAAGACAGGCACAAAAUGUCAACCACCGGCAUUGCCAUUCACAAUAAAAAUGCCACAUGAAAUAAUUUGCAACAAAAAUCAUAAGAACUUAGAUGAGUUCAUGUUCACAGCACUUGCUUUAACACUUGUCUUAAUUUACAACGGCAAUUUUUUGUUGAUGGGCUAAUAGUUUAUUUAUGCUUCUUAGUAUGUACAUUCAGUCCUUCAUACAACAAACUAUAUAAGCAAUAACCUGGGUGAGUGACUCUUUUAUGCACAUUUUCCUUGGGACCAUAGCAUAGUUUUUUAAGAUACCUUGUUUGCAACAAACUGAUAAGAGGAAUCUAUAACUGUAUUUAAAGGCAAGGUAAGACAUGCCUAUAAAAGAAGAAACCAAAAUUCUUCGCAGCAGCGACAAGCGCGGCCUCGUCGGGAGAGGCAGCUUGAUAAGUAAUCUUUUCCGGUGUCUCCUCACCCUCAGGAAGAACUGUAUGACAGAUUGCAAGGCAUCUGCAGAAUUGCUAUAGAGCAAAUAACAAAGUUGUUACACAACUAGCACAUUAACAAGGGAAAAUGUGAAAAAGGAAAAUAGGUUCCAAAUUUUAUUAGUAAGGGCAUAUAUCGUGAUAUGUGAAUAAUUUGUGUCAACUAAAUCAAAACUGAUUAUGACCAAAGGGGAACCAAUCGAACUAUUCCACAGGUAGUCCCGUAUUUACCACGCAAGCAUCAGGAUUAGGUUCAUUUCUCCAUGCACCACGCAUUAUUCUAGCAUCAUCAAAGUUGAAUCCUUUCUCAUGAACUGCAGUGGCUGAUCUUUUACCCUAAAAAAGGCAAGUAAACUGGAUAUUAAAUCAGUUGUGCAUUAAAUUUUUCAUCAUAUACCACCACACUUCAAUAGCGUAAACAACAAAGAAAAUGUUGUAGACCUCAUCAUCAUCAAUCUUGACUCCGGCUCGCUCGGCUCCUCCUUUUUCAAUCUCUGUGAUGCCAGUUCCAUAUAUUUCCCCUCCAAUCGAACAUUUAAAGAAUUCCAUCAAGUUUCUUGUAAGUGUUCCAGUUUUGUCAGAAAAUAUAUACUCAACCUGAACCAUUAGUGGGGCAAAAAAAAUUUGGCAGAAAUGUCAAAUUAUUUGCAAGUGUUAAGUGCAUUUUAGUACCACUCGGCAUUUGUUCAGUCAUAUAAGCAUUUCUGGGGAUCUAGAACAGUUUUUCGGUGGGAGUAAGUCACUUAAUAUUAGUGAAAUGAGACUGUUCCCCAAGUGCUUAUAAUUGAUCCCACUUUCUGGAAUGAGUCGGUGCAGUGAGGUCAUUCUAUCCAUUAACCAAACCCAGCCAUAUAGGUCAAAUAAGUAAAUAACCCCAUUUCAGCAACAAACAAAGGGGCUUUCAUCAAACUAAACAGAAUGCUAAGGAACAAAAAAAAAACUGAUAUUACCUGCCCAAGCUCCUCAUUCAGAUUAGAAGUCCGAGCCAAAGCUGGGGUGUUGCUCUCGGCAUGAUACAUAUUCAGAUCAUUGUUAAUAAACUUUGCACACUGAAUGAAUUUGAUCAUCUGCCAGCCAAAAUAAACAUAAGGUCCAAUCCAAAUACAGGGUACACUAAAUGAUAAAUUGGUCAAUAUACCUCAAUGGAUACAUAAAGAGAAAUGGGGAUGAUCGUUGAGUAUAGAGUUAUUAGAGUAAACAUAGUUAAAAUGGUCACCUGCAAAAGUACAAACCUAUGAUAUAAGGCCACUUAGAGAAUAUUCUCUACAAUAAAUUAACUAAAAUAAUAUAUACCACAAAUCUGUUCUUGGGAUUAAACUGGUCCUCGACACGCCCACGCAAUCCAAGAUAGAAGUAUUUCUCAUUAAUAAACACGCCACUGUUCACAAAAGCCAAGUAUGAUGAGUCCAUUGGUAGAGUUUUAGGUUUCUAAAGAACGUGCAAGCUAAGCAGUCAUAGUUACCAAAAUCUAUAUGCUGAACAGAGCACUUCCAUUUCUGACCAUCUAGAAAGUGCCCUAUUAUGUACCUCCCACAUAAAACCACUAAGAAAAAAGAUAAGGCUAUUAAGACCUAGUCAUGUGCUCAUCUAUACUGCUCCUAUGCCACAAUAAAAAAAUAACUUCCCCAAACAAGCUCCUGACAACUCAUGUCAUAAUGUUUAAAGUUUAUCUCUCUAUUAACAGUUGUUUUUUCAUGAUCAAUUAAAUUGUGAAAAAUGAUUGUGCAAGCAUAAGCCUCCACAACAUCAACCUAACCGAUAUAACUCAUGUUCAGAGAAUAUACAUGUAAACAAUAAUACAAGAUAGAUAAGUCAAAUAAAUGAAGUGGGCCAAAUAAAACACUGACCUUCCAAUAGCACCAAUGACACACAUCGUAAAGAGGGUUGCAAAUAGAGCAAGAAUAAGCUUGUCUAGUUUCUUCUCCAAUGUACUUCUUUUAGAGGGAACAUUCAUAGAAUUCAUCAUAACCUGCAAUAGUGUCCCACUGCAGUAAAUCUCAAAACUAGAAGCACAUCUAACCUACAAGUUGAAUAUAUAGGGACACAAAAUUGCACAUACUUUCGUCUCAUGGCCCGUGAAUAUAACAGCCGCGACAAUGUACUCUGUAUUACGAAGGCUGCAUCCCUGUGGCAAAGUGGUAAUAAGAGGUUGCAUGUGUGCCACAUAAAGAGAGAGAAUUAAGUGUCAUGCAAGACACCGUUCAGUCUGGUGAAAGUAAACAUUUCUUUUGCACUUUACAAACAUUGCUUCAACCCUUCACCACUUAUCCUACAUAUGGGACUAGAGAAGAAAUGGAAGUUGUUUAUAUGAAUGUUAAACAUUUCCAAAUUGUUUAUAUCAUAGCUAUCCUUGUUUGCAAACCAAUAAGAACAAUAUUAUUAUAGAGGUGUUUUAUGAUGAAAAUUUCUGCUGGUGACAUUUGGGUGUCGUCAAUAUUGGUAUUUGGAGGAGAUGUUGGUGAUCAAAGUUAAAGGCCGAGUAAAGGCAUCACGCUAUGAUGUUAUUUUUUACCUGAGGGAUUUUCUUAACAAACUCAUGCUAAAUCUAGAACAUGCAAACAACUUUGCAGGUGGACAAUCUUGUAAAGAAAUUUCAAGGGCAUGUUUGUGUGAGGGGUAUUACUUUGGUACGUGUUGGUAACUACAUACCUAAUUGUUACAAGAAAAAUCUCAUCCAAACAAGCCCUAAGGACAUUAUGGACCUUGCUACUGCAAAGUUGGUAAGUCGAAAAUACGACAGGAUGUCUGAUUGAUAUGUAGGACCUGGACCCACAUGUCAUUCUCACAGCGAGUCGCACUAUUUCAAAUGUCAACUUUGUGGUGGCAUGGUUUCAAUUUUCCCAAUAAGAAACUAGAUACAAAUAGCAUAGAUGAACAGCACUUACCCUUAGUAGUAUUUGAUUUGGUGAAAUUGGUAUAGUUUGCUUGUCCACAAUAAGGUUCCCGGUAAAUGUAUAAAGUGAAUUGUUUGGCUGUUCGCAUUGUAUUUCACCUGUAAGCCAUGAAACAUACAGAUAAUGUGAAGUUAAGAAAAUGUAGAAUAGUUAAGUGAAGUUCAGAAAAGGAGCAAUGCUUCCUACACCAACUACCGAAAAAUGUCUGCAACAUGGAACAAGAAUAGAUAAAAACCUUUGAAUUCAGAAGCCUUUUCAGGAAUUACGCAGUCCCAGGUUUUCUCCAAAGCCUUCCUUAUUUUCAGGUUAGUUUCCCCAUCAAGAUUUGCUGUCUAAGGUAAAUAGAAGUAUGAUACACUUCAAUUAAAACAGAGUUUCUCUAAAUCAUUCAAUAAUUUCAAUUUGGACAAAAGAUGGAGAAGGUAAGAAUGAAUAUAUUGACCUCUAUGUAGCAGACACCAUCAGGGUUCGUACUUGAUAGGAAGAGCAAGUCAGAAGGAAAGUAAGUGUCUUGCUUGAUCUGCUCUAAAGAAGUGCCAUCACUAUUAGUCUUUUUGGAUAUGUGUAUCGAGCUGAAGAUUAAAUUUGCACAGCACAAAAGAUCAAGUGCAUUAAUUUGUGGAAGCAACAGAUCAAUUGAAUUGAUCAUCAAAUUGCUAUCAGGAAAGAUGAAGACAUUACCCUCACAAUAUCUCCAACCUGCAGUCUUUUCCAAGGGGCACUUUCCCAUUUUUGACCUUGCAAUACAUCGACGUGCGCAUUAUUAAUUGACAUGUCAUUCUGGAAACGUUUCUGUAUAAUGGGAGGCAAACAAAAAGGGAAGAAUAUCAGAUAACAUUAAGAAUAGCAAUAAAAUAGUGGAGCAACAGAGCAUGAGAGCAAUACUAACCCAGUCCUCAAAAGCUUCCUUGAUGAGUGAAACCAAAAGCACUAAACUAAGUGGAACCACAUUGGUGACAGGGUGGACUGGACUGCGAAGAUACAAGCAUGUAUGAACUAAGAUUUCUAGAAGUAAAGGUGAAGGAAAGCAAAGGAUGACUGAAUCAACUGAUGGACUUGAUAUGCUAAGAAGUGUCUAGCUGUAACAUGAGAAUUCCAUAGGGUGCAUGCAUGAGAGAGAGAGAGAGACCUAAUUGGUGUAGUCGACAAGAUUGAAAUCAUAAGAAAGUAAAGAUUUGCCACCCGUCUGAACUGUCAAAGCAAAAAAAAAAACAAAUGAAUUACAAAAGGUUCCUAUGGUCAAAUUGCGAUAAUACAGAAAGGGAACAUCUAAAUCGGUGUUACAGCUACCAUUGCAAAGUUUCUUUAUUCGAUAUGGAAAAAUGCAUUACAUGUUUAAUGUAUGAAGCCAUUGAAAUACUUUAAUGUACCUUACGUAAAAAACAGUGGAUAAUGAAAUUGCCAGAAUUAUGGUAUCGCAUAAAAUGAAGGUUACAUUGAGCGAAAAGCAUGAUCAGGGCUUUACCAAAUAACAAAAUCAUACUUCUCCUUUUCUCAAUAUAUGGCAUUUUAGGUUUCAUUGAAGACAAGUCUUUGAAAAGGAUUUACUUUGUGUUGUUUUUAAGGCAUGAAAUUUAUAUCACUAGAUUCAUCCUCAAAAGUACUUAAUGUGGAUUCAUAUCAUAUAAAUCACAUAUUAAUGAAGUAAUUCUUGGUCAAAGUCUUGUAUUAACGAAACCUAAUAUGUCCUGUAUUGACAAAAUGAGGGAGUAUAUUAUCUAACAGUGCAUGUAUACAGGCACGAUACUGGUAGCGCGUAUUACAAGCAAGGUAUCUUAAAAACAUUGCAACACAGUGCCAGACCAGGUAAGCAACUAAGCAUCUCAUGUAUCCACUAUUUUAAGGGAAGUUGAUCCAGAGUGAGGAAAUAAACAUUUUUAAGGAGAUAUAUCAAUUUGCAAUGUGAAAAUGAUACGGAGUAGUAUAAUCAUUUCACUGUGAUAACAAAUACUCCCUCCGUUCUAAAUACUUGUCGCUGUUUUAGUGCAAACUAAAACAGCGACAAGUAUUUAGGAACAGAGGGAGUAACUUCCAUUUACCGUUAGACAUGAUACAAAAUAAUAUGUUGAAAAAAAAUCUAGCCAAAAACUAAAAAACAAACAGAAAAUCUGCAUUAAACGAUGACAAACCCAGCAGGUAUGUUGAUUAACAAAAUAUGUAUGAACAAAAAACAACGCAUCAAUACCUGUUCAAACAAUCCUUUAGGUAGAAAUGUCAGCACACUGUACUUUGUAGUCGACACAGAAUUUCCCUGGAAAUGUAGAAUGAGAAUGUUAAAGAACUAAUUCUAGCAGAAAAACAAAGUAGCGCUCUGCAUUAGAAUCGCGAUGGUCUGAUACCCAACAUGAGGGAGAUUCUGAAACUAAACAGAAGAGCUAAUUGCAACUAGAAGCAUGAAAAAAGUAUAGCUUGAUCUUUUUACAACAUCAAGUCUGAAUACAUUCAAGCAUUUACACUAACUUGGAACAAAAUGUGGGUGUCAAAGAAAAUGCAUGAAUACACCUACUUACAAUAAAGCACCAAUUUUGCAGUGAUUGGACAAACUAUGGUUAAAAUACUUAAUAAUAGAGUUCUACGUAUUUGGAGGCAUAAAACGCAUUGCAGUUGGAGCAGUGGCAUUAUCAUGUUAGUCAGUCUAACAUGGCAGUGAAUGACGUGAAUUUUUUGCUAGUUUAGACCUCUGGCCAGCGCAAUUGACAAAAAUGCCCCCCUCUCAAAACUAAUGCCAAAAAUGGUCUGGCAGAAGGCCCGAAAGGCGCCACAUUUCAUUUUUCGCCAUCUGAGCUGCGCAUGCAAACAUUCCGACAACCUGAAAGGCGGAAAGGCCGUUCCGCCUACUGCAUUUGAUGAAUGCACCUGACAAGGGCGGAAGGUGAACUGGGCCCUGCAGAUGGAAGCAAUUUCCACAUUUGUUACAGACCUGGAAUCUUUUUUUUUGUUGGAGUCGACGGACCAUGUAUGUGCGGAUGCAUAGGAAUCGGCAAGCAGCCUAGCUGCUAGUUCACGGGCACGUUUUACAUUUUCUUUCCUCAGGUUUGGCUAGUGCUACCACGUUGAUACUAAUCAACGCUUCUUGUGAAUGGGCUUAGUUGCUUCUACUAGUCGUGCGAGCGUUAAUCUUUUCUCUGUGCGCCUGCAUGUGCGGGCGUGGGAAUCGGGUCAGGUCCCUGCAGACAGCACGCCUGGCUGCACUGGGCCUGCUUCAGCUUCCGCCCCUGAAAAUUCACUUUCGUCCAUUUCAACUGGAAACAAGUAGGCUCCACCUGUCCUGUUGGCGGAAAGUUCAUUCCUCCUACCCAGUGGCCACUGGGUCAGUUGCUGGGCUUUCCACCACGUCAUUUUUCAAAUUAUAUUUCAGAUGGAGCUAUUUUUGCCAAUUCCGUUUGACAAGGGGCUACAAGAGCAAAGAAAUUGAAUGACAUAGCAAGCAAUCAAUUUCCCCUUAUAGGUAAAUAAUAAACAGCUUUGCUUCAGCUUACUGUCAUCAGCUGGUGGCUGACUGCCCUGACCAAACACAAGUUCAGUAAUCUACACAGCAAGCGGCACACAGGUGCAGCUAAGCACAUGGAUGAACAGAAUAUUCCAGCCAUUGAGGCUCAGCUCUCGAAGCUUAAUGCCAGGUGGCAUCUACAUUGUAUUGCAGCCCGUAGCACCCUGAUUGACUAGUAACCCAACAAUGAGACAAGCUCUAAUCCACCCAAUGACCUCACAGUUGGCAAGAAAUGCAGCCCUUAGUGACACGCACCACCCUACAUAACUUUCUCGUGGACUAAUCAGUAUGAAUCAUAUAAACCCUCUGCAAGCUGCAGUGAAAUAAAACUACUACUACUGAACUAGCUAUUGUCCCAGAUGGCCAUCUCCAACCCAACCGCCCAAGCAUGAAACAAGGGGCCAGUUACGAGAUCUAGGCCUACAGACCCCUAGACCUUGAGACAACCGACCUGUUGAUCAUCCGAAUUAGAGGAGGAGGUGCACACCCGUACCUUGUACCCGACCGGCGCGUUGGCUUCGCGGUCGUUGCAGUAGAUGGUGCGCACGGUGGGUGCCUGCGGCUGCGGCUGCCGUCGGAGGCUGCCGCCCCCGCCGCCGAGACGCGCCGUCCUGGACGCCUCAGCGCGGCCGGCCUGAGAGGUCCCCCCCCGCGGCGACUGCUCGCCGCCCAGCCGCGCGGUGGCAACCCGCAUCAUCUCCUUUAUGCGCGAGCUCAUCCUGCCCCCCUCAGCGCCAAACCCAGCGCUGGAGGAGCCGGCGGGAGAUCUGGGGAAACCUCACGGUGGAUCGGAGGGGAGACCUAGUCGGAUUUGCGCGGCUUUCUGGUGGAUUUCAGUGCCUCGCUGAGGAGGGGAUUCGAUUUGGGUCACGCGUUCCCGUAUGUGCGUAUUUUUUCCGUGUAAUUUUUUUGUUUUGCCUUUUUCUUUUCCUUUGGCUCCGGGAGAAGAGAAGACAGGAGGGGAAGGAAAAGCGAAGGUCGCGACUUCGCGAGGAAGAAAAUGAAGGGAUUACUGCAGAUCACACCCUUGAUUAUUUUCGAAUAUGGAAAGCUCCAGUAACUGAAGUUUGAAAUUCCAGCCGCGUUUGUCUUUUCCUUCUUCGAGCAAACAACCGUGUUCUUGACUUGUUCUAUGUUUUUGCUGUCCGGAGGACUACCCGAUUUGCAAGUAAAUAAUGGCAUUAAUUUCAUAUAAGCACUUUAGGACACCACACUUGACAUGGUUUUCUACUGACGACGACUAUAUGGUGGCUUUGAUGUUCCAUGAAUAGAUCUUUUUAGCGGUGUUUCAAGUUCAGGUGUUAUAACAAAGCAUUACUCUUGACCUAUCUUCCCUUGCGACCAUGCUUUUUGAAUCGCCAAGUCGAGUCGAAUCGCCCCCCAACAGACUUGGAGGUUAGUAUGAUUAGUCAGAAACUAGUCUCGACUAAUCAACCCAAGUCGAGCCUAGUGAUCAGUGAGGUUUAGGGAGCUCUAGCAGGGAGCAUUAGAGGAAAGGAGUGAAUUGCAGUAGAGGGGAAGCACGAGGGAACAGUUUUUGUGGUGCUGGAGCUUGAAGAAGAGGUUCAUGGCGGCUAGGAUCUAGGAGUCGAUAAACUUAGAACGCCCGUGUUGAGGCAAACGCGUUGAGGAAGACGACUUCAAAGGUGGUUGGCUCAUUAUCAGGAUAGGUGCGUGCCUGGCAGCCCAUAAAGGCCUAUUAGAAAACCCUAACUCCCCCCUCCCCCCCCCCCCCACACACACAUUGCCUUCUUCUACACCACACACGCACCAAUGGCGGCCAUCUUCUUCCCCUUCCCUGCUGCUCCCCAUGCCUUCUCUCCCUCCCCGAAAAGAAAUAUCUUCCGAAAAUUCUUCUCUUCGAGUCAAGUUGAGGGGCUCGCGGCGUUCCUAGUCACGGCGGCUAGUCGGAGAAGUCGCGGUUCUAGCUGACGAGUCGCGCGACUUGCUCUGCUAGUCGAGUCGCGGCUGCAAGCCGCCAUCAUUGUGCUGGCUCGGCGACUAGUUGGCGAUUCAAAAACCAUGCUUGCGUCUUAUAAUUUUGUUUCCUCUUAGAUUUUUUUCAAUUAUGUAUGGAACUCUUUUAAGCUUGGCUAACAUAUUGGGUCAAUUUGUCUCCCAUUGAAAAAAAAACAAUUUCCUAUAAAAAAUAAAGUAUCCACAAAACAAUAUGCAUAGCGCAGUUGUUUUCAAAGUUGUGGAUGAAACUUUGUGUUGUACAGGCAACCACUUAAUAACUUGUUCGGUUGUAGAAUUCCCCGCAUGUAUUGAAGAGGAUUAAGAGAGAUCUAAGGAAAAUUGAUCUGCAAUUCGAUCAUUCCCUCUUAAUCCCCAUCGGAGUGGAAUCAACCGAACGGGGCUAAUGUGGACCAUAUCACCUUGAGGACUCCAUUCUUCUUUUAUGGCAACGUUGCAUGGACCUUGAUAUGAACGCACGUGCCUGCAAUCUCUAUUAUUUUUUCGUAAAUAGCAACUGUCCUUUCUGUAUCUUGUAAUAUGUUUUCUACAAUUUUAUUUGGGAUAUUUCGUCAAGAACCCAAAUCGAUUACAUUUUCCACUUUGGCGAAUGAGUCAAGAUUCUCCAUGUGUUCCAGCGAGGCAACUGCGAGCUACACAUGUAUGGUGAAACAAGCCUCGCAACUUCGUAAGUAACUCCAAAACUACAUCAGCACGUCUCUUGAACUUUGGAAACACACAGACGUGUUCCACGACCGUGAGGCGACGGAGUUAACGGGGCAGCGUUGCCGGAAAGACAAGAGUACCGUAACAAGGCCCAGACUGGGCUGCAUCGGCGUUCUGCCUCUAUUACAAGCGAGAGAUGUUGAACCGGCCAAGGUUAGGCAAGGCAGUCAGCGGGAGGAUUUUUUUUUUUUUGUUGUUGGUUUUGAAGAGGCGCGGGAGGAGAAGAACUUGCUUGACCAGCCCACAAGAUCGUGAACCGGUAUGACAUUGACAUUUUAUUUAGGGCCAGUAACGUGUAAUUAGAAGUACUAGCUUACAUCUCUUCCUUUUUGAACCGUCAGAUCUGCAACCAUAUCAUCUCUCCCCUUUGUCCUCUUCGCUAUGCCGAUUUUAGUGAAACGCCGCUGCCAAAUCUUCACAGGAUUGUGAACCGGCAGCAGCUUCGACCCUUCAAUAUUAUUAUUACAGCUAAAUAAAAGACUGAAAUUAUAGGUGAGGUCCUUUGUUCUAAUCGCCCAAGCGAGCAGAAGCCAAGAGAUUACGUGCAAGCAUAGCAUGGCCAUGUUCGCCAACUCAUGACAUAGUGGCACAGGGACUAACCACCUGGAUUACAUGGCUAGCUUCCAUAUAUGUGCAACAAAAUAUUGGUACCAGGCAGCCAUCUGUGCCACCAACCAUAAACUCCCUGAUCCCAAAAAAUACAAAAUACCAAGAGUUUCCACCCACAUCAGUACAAGUGCACAACAGUUUAAGAGACAAGCCAAGGAUCAUUCCCAGUUUGUGGGAAUAAAUAAGAGUCCGCAGCAAACAGAAAACUCAAAAUCGCUGGCAAAGUUAGGAUGUGGAAAAAAGAAAGGCUUAAAAUGAUCUAGCCAUGGCGUCAGAAUCUAUUAUCAAUGUUUCUCUCUCAAGGAUUUCCCUUCUAUAUAAAGUAUAAUAUUACAAAGGGGCUGCUUAAAUAUCAUGGACUCCUGGAAUGUAAAGAGGGUAAUAAUCAACACUACAUGAGCCUCCUUUUUCCUGAGGCUGCUUCCUAAGACUGACUGACUGCUUCCCCGAGGAUCCACAUACACCCUCCCCUCUCCUCAAGUUCCACCUCCCACCAUGGAAGUUAAACCCCCACCAUGGAUCCGAUGCUAACCAACUGUACGCGACCUGGAGAAAGUCAGUCAGCUUGGUGGUUCAAUCAAGACAGAGCAUCACGAUAUUGCCCAAAUGGUAUAAUUGGCAGGAUCAAUAAGUAGUUUAUGCUCGCAGCAAGAUCCAAAAGAACCAAUCUACCAUGACUAAUGUAUGACAAGAAUGAUGUCUUAUGUCUACUUUCAGAUACACUAUGGUCCAGGUGAAACAAUAUUUUAAAGUUUAGUAAUUACUGGCAGUAGUAGACAGACCACAGAAGUGUAAAGAUAUUUGCACACAUGACCUUUUAAUCCAAGGCUAACCCAACCUUGUAAGCUACGUGCUGUUUGUGCUAACGCUGCUGCUUGAAUGCAAUUAGACAGUGGUGAUGUCCUUGUUAGUCUGUUACAUACCUAAGGCAUCACCUCCUGAUUCUAGGUUUGCACCGGAACUCUGCUAAGAGCGCUAUGUGAUCUGAUGACCAUUCAGGUGAAGGAAGAGCAGUGUCUUUUCUUAAGCUCUCCUCAUCCAGAAGUUCCAACAAAGACUCCACGGUCAACGAAUCCGCUGAAACAAUAAAGGAAACAUGAUCAACUGACCAUAAUCAAACAUAUCACAAUACUACAAGCUGAUUCUGAAGCAAUUCCCAGAAGUCUAAAUACAGCAUACAGGUCAGGUACCUACCUGUGUAAAAUAUAUAAUCAACAGUUCCAGUGAAAUCCCUUGUGCAAUUUGUGAAAAGUGGUUCAUUUGUUCCUGGAUCCAUCCUCCUUCGCUGGUGCUCUAAAUCAUAGCCAACACCUACCAUUCUUGCAAAUGAAGAAUAUGCACUGACCUGCAAACAAGUAAACAUUGGUCAGAAUUUUAAAGGAAGAACAAGAUAGACAAGCUUGAUAGUUUUACUGUACCAGAGGAAGCUGGUGCGUCAACUUGCUCACGGGGCGUAAAAUUGAAAGUGGGUCUAUGGCCAGAUCUGGAUGCAAUUGAUCAACUUUGCCCACCGCAAGAAGCCCAUGUGGAGUACUGAAAGACAAAAGGAAGCACUUAGAGAUUUAAAGUUAGAAAAAACAAGUAAACCUGAAAAAUAUUGCUCCAAUAGAAUCUUGACAUGCACCUCCCCGGGAUUGAAUUGAAAUCCCCACAGACCAACAUUGGAAUGUCUGCACUGUUGGCUAUUUUCUCCAAUCCUUUUAGUAGUGUUUGAACCUGCAAAAAACAUACUUACUUUCGAUCUGAAUUUUUCAGAUGUUGCAGAAUGCUAGCCUACAGAGAAUGUGACAAUACUGACCUCCCAUAGUUUCACAUCUUUGAGGUCUUGGUGGACAUUUACAUGUGUAUUGGCCUGAAAUUUGAGAUCAUUUAAAAGAAUGAGACCUCCAUGACUCCAAGUAGCAUAAGCCUAGGCCGUAUGAACAAUGGGAAAUCUGUAGUAAAGUUGGCCUCAAAAUCUAGAGUCUAGAGAGCCAAGUCCCAAUCAUCCGCCAUUAACAUAUAGAUGUUUCCGUGCAUCUUAUGCUACUAAGGUCAUCCUACACAGAUAUAUGUUUCACUUCAUUCCUAAAUGUUGUGAGCAAAGAAGGAAAAGAAUCCAUAUGUUGUUCUGCACUAUGCUGCUAGCAGUUCAAUAGCUAAACAUACGGGAAAGUCCACUUUUGGCCCCUUAACUAUUGCCUCAGAUCAAAAUCAUCUAAUUUGCACCCUCAACUAUCAAAAGCAUCCAAGUUACAUCUGAAGGCAAUAUUUGUUAGAGGCUUUGUGUGAUGUGGCAUCCAUGUCAACGUGUUUUGCCACAUCAAUCGCUGCUGGGCAGUAGGGCCCACAUAUCAUGGCUGCCGUGCCCCUUCUUUCUUUAUAAUUCUUCCUCCUUAGCCAUGCCAUGGCCUCCUCUGUAGGCUAUAGCUUCCACUGCUGCUGCUACAGAUAACCCAUGUUUGACGUUGCAUAACAUCUUCUGAUUUAGAGAGGGGUAUCCUGACAGACAUGUACCAGUCUCCGCAAACCGCUGCACGGCUGCAUCCUGAGGGGAAUGGACAAAGAGAGGAUUAGAGAGGAAGGCUGAGGAGGGAGGCGUUUAGGGCGACUCCAACACGGCCACCCAAAUCGGACACAAAAAGUGUGUCCGUUUGGGUCUGCUGGUGCCCCUAACACGGUCACCCAUUUGGUCCGUUUUAUUAUUUAGUAUUGGCCACGGAUAGGCGGGCCAGGGCAAGGACAAGGGAGGACAAGCGCAGUGUCCACCCGCUGUCCGCCCAGACACAAACCCGGUCAGAUUUGGGUCGGCAAUGGGUUGAGCUGGACAGAAAAGCAGACAGCCGCCACACCGGACGAAAUGGGUCGCCGCGUUGGAGUCACCCUUAAUGCUAAGCUGGGAAAGAGGAAGGGAACAGAAAUAAGAGGAUGAGGACAAGGGAGGGAGAAAAGGGUGCUUCCAAAAAAUCAAUCCCAGGCAUGUGGGGCCUACUGCCCAGUGGAGAAUGAGAUGUCAAAGUUGCUGAUUUGGCGGCUACAUACAGAAUAUCACUCAUGAAACCAGCUUCUGGUCCUAUCGAACGGUUUCAUGAGUUGAUGGUUCAAUUUAGACCAGGCAAAAGUUGAGGGAUCAUAAUUAGGCUUUUCCAAACAUAAAUGAAUGUCAUGCUGUAAAAGUAGUGUUCGUCAUCCAGUAAACUGGUUCGAAUAUCCAACAAGCGCACAACUACUUUAUACACAUCUAAAGAAAGAACAGCUAUUUACAUACCACACAAAGGAGCUGCCUUUUACCAGGAGUUUCAGUUCCUUGGUUGCCAAAUUUUGCUUCUAAAACCGCAAUCAGCGCAAUAUUAUCCUUCAAAGCAAAUAGAACGUGUGAUAAAUAACAUCACUUUUUUUUGCGAAAAGUGAUAAAUAACAUCACUGUAGCAUACAUUAUUUCUUUUGAAGUUAAUCUUACUUUAAUCAGUCGACUUAAAGCCACUCUUUUCUGGGAAGCUGGAAUAAUAGCUUCUGUUAAAGACUGUGCAGCCUUAUUGAACUCAACCUACACAAGCAAGUACAAGUAUUAGAUAGCUGCAAAUAUCAAGCUGCUGCAAACCUGCAGUACAGGUACCUCGUAUUUUUUGACAUGUGAAAAUCUAUCUCUACGGAAGAAAGUAGCACAGCCAUCAAUGGCAUUAGGAACUCCAGCAUACACCUGUGACAACAGUAAAGUAAAAUCAAACAAGAGACAAAAGGUAUUAAACCAAAAUAUGAAGGAAAAAAUCAACCCAAAGAUACCUCUGUUGUCCGUUUCUUGUAAAGCGCCUGAUACCCAUGUUUAUCAAACUCAGGAGCAAAAAAAUCCUCAAAGUGGUUCAAUUGUACCUGAAAACAGUAGGACUUGGCUUAAUUCCCUCCUGUUACAAUCUUCGGUCACUCUUCGUUUUUAUUGUAAGCCGCUUCAGUAAACUCUUCAUAAUAUAUAUGCAGACAAUAUUCGUGAAAGUUUAAACAGCAAGCAAACUAUCAUAAAUUCAUAAUCCAACAUCACUGAAAAGUGAAAACAAUCAAACAAAGUGAUGGCACAAAUAUGGAAACGAACAGCCCAGCAGUAUAUGAAAGAUUGUAGGUUGAUGAACAGGGUUCCGGCAUUAAAGUUUACCGAGUCGCAAAAAUUAUAUGAUCAACCAAAUGAGACAUGCUCGGUUCCUAAAACAAAUAUAUGAGAUGAAAAGCUGAAAAUAGGUCACCAAAAUAAAUAAAUUCAGAAGAUAGCAAACAUAUGAUACCUCCUGAAGACAUAUAAUAUCAGCAUGAUAACCAAUAAUUUCGCGCAUCAAAUUUUGUCUUCUGUAAGUCCAUGAAAGUGCCCACGUUGGGCAGUAGCUAUAUGCAUCAGAUGUAGCAUAUGCAUCAGCAAGAAUAUUAUAGGACAGCACCGUGAAUGUCCCAAAAGAAGAAGUCUGGCUGUCUAUAUCUGAGUGACCCAAAACAUCUCCAUUCACUUGGAUAAGGCGGCGUGGAGUAGGAGUUGGUGCUGGAAUCACACGUGAUGUCAUAAUUGAAGUUGGAGACCCCGCAGGUACUUUCUUUUCCGUAUCCACCGCUGCACAUUCAAAUCUUAGAACAUGCCCAAUAUCAUCAGCAGUUGGUGUAUACGUCUGCGAGCGUCCCACUUCAAACCAUGUUUCACCCGAGUUCUUAUCAGUGCCUGAGGGAUACAAGGGAACAGGUCCAUUAUUAACUCCAGGGCUCUGUCCAAGAUUUGACAUUGAGCCAGACCCAGAACUUAGAAUCCCAGAACUACCGCUGCCAAAUCUACCAAAUAGCUCCUCCUCUUCAGCUCCAUUUUCAUUUAAAGCACUACUAGCUCGCUCAUGCAAAACCCUGUGGUGCUGCCAUGCAUCAGAGAAGCACUUAGCAGAACAAUGGUAGCUCUUAGCAGCAGGUAUUUUUGACUUGAGACAACCUAAGCACUGAAUUGUUGCUUGCUCCAUCGGAUGUACACUGCAGAUAGUAACUUUUCGAUCACUCUGUAUGCGAUACCUUCGAGCGAAAAGUCAAAUCAGUAUAACCAUGUGCUACUAGAUACAGAAAAAGUUUAGAAGAACAUGAUUGAAUAUAGUAACUACAAGAAAGGACACCUAAAUUGCCAAUGUUUUAGCAUGUAUGAGAUCCAGGAAAACUUGCUAUCAGCAUCUUGGAAGUCCAUUAUUCAGAGACAUUAGACUCACAACACUUCCAUUAUAAGCAUAGUAUGAAUAAGGCAAAAUGAAGCAGGUUGCCAAGAUGUCGCAAAAAAAAAGAAGCAAAUUACAAGUUUGCUUGUCAUGAGUUGCUGCUGCUGUUGUUUUUUCUUGAUUUUAGUCCCUCAACCGGCUAACUCGUGAUCAUUCAUCUCUUGCUUUCUUUACCAGAUCAACCAUGCAACUGAUUUCUUUAGCGGACCAGGCAAUAUAUGUAAUAAGCAAAAUUCUACAGUUUAGAUCAGAGAUUCAGAGGACUAUUGCAGGCUCUCAUAUAUCAUCAUUAGGGCAUGACGACCAGACAAGGAAGUUGCUGUGUAUAUUAUUAUUCCUAGAAGAAAAACAUUUAAGUACUGUUCAAGGAGGCGACCAACUAUAGCCCAGUGCCCACCCCAUCAAUCGAUUAGUGUCUUUCAGAACACUUCAUUUCAACAAUGUGUCUAUAAAUGGCCACACUUACUAUACUCAAACCUCAAACCUUAAAAGUGAAUAAAGAUGCACAUAUCACAUGAGAUUCUAUCAAGCUAAUGACUGAAAAGCAACACAAUGAAAAUAUAAAAAACUAUAGAAUUGAAGGACCAAAACCAAUGAAACUGCAUGAGUGUUAGUGGGACCAAGCACCACCAUUUCGAAAAGUUCUAAGGUCUAAAGUCUCAGCAAUAAAUGCUAUUUAAACCUACAUGACAUUAAAAAAACGGAUGUGAUAAAACAAAUAAAUAUUCACGAACAUGAUCAAUCAUUCAGAGCGGGAUUCUAAAAUUGAUCACUGAAAUUGUUCGGCCACCCAGCUAUUAGUGAUUAUACAGCCGAGCUAGCUCAUUGCAGUGGGUGGCAUAACCAGCGGUUACAAGUUCUUUUCUCUCAUAUUUGCCUCUCCAUUUUUCAUUUUUUUAUUUCCAAAUAGAUCUACAAUGUUAUUUGAAUUUUAAAAAUAAUAGGUAGGGCACUCCUUACAUACAUGACCUCCUAGGCCAUUUAAAACAAAUAUGCAUUGUUUGGGGUUUUUUAUAUAACAUAAAGUAAGUUAACUAUGACACACUGCCAAAAUAUUUUUGCAUAAAAAACAUUAAAUUUGAUAUAGCACAGAAAGAACGUGGAUAUCCAGCAAGAGAUUAAAGAAGGCAAAGUGGGGCAGGCAGUCAGCAAAACAAAACUAGUGGAUCACGAGUUUCAAACUUUUACUAGCUUUAAGCAACUGAAAUAACUUGCCACUGAACCUAGUGAGCCAACAACUCUAACGUGUAAUAGCAAACAAGUAAUAAUUCUUUUGAAGCUCCAGAAUAAUCAAAACUGAGUCUAGAAUCAAGCUAGAAUGCCCAUUUGAGUUCACUGGUGAUGUUAGAGUGAUACUUAGUUCAAGGAGUAUAUCCAGAUACCCCAAUCAAAAAAAUCAUCUGAAGCCAUGCGAACAAACUGAUGGCACUUCUAGAAUAGUGUCUUUCCACAAAAUUAGUUAGAUAAGCCUAUGUAAUCCCAAAAUUUAUAAAAUGCUCCCGUUCCAUCCAAGAUGAACGUAAACAUUCCUGCACAACGAUUGGCAACAAUCCUCAACCCAACAGCCUUCAUCACCAUCCUAUGAUGCUAUCUAACACUCAAUAGUUCUAGCAAAACCAAAAUCAGAUGGUCUGUUUUGCUCAAUGAAUUACUUAUUAUCAUUACCAACCCGUGUGGCAGGUUGAUAUGGCAUAGACUAAAUAGUAUGAUUCAUAAACAGGCUUAAAAUAAUGCAAUACUGAGUUCUUUACCAAAUCAAGCAUUGGCAUUUCAUGUUCCCUGGGUUUCCAUUCGUUCCAAAAACAAACAACUGUCUUGCUAGAGAAAAUCAUGCUCAGAAUUCAUAUAGUUGUGCUUCAUUUAUGCAAGAAUCAAGACGAUUCAUGAGUUUAGCAAGUAGUUAAGCAUCUAGCAAACUGAUUGAUACUUAAAGCCCCCAUUUUCUUUUUUUCUUUUUUGUCAAAAUUCACUUGUAGCAACGCACAAGCGGAACUAAGCAUUCGAAAGUGUAUAUCCUAUUGAACCAAAAGUUGCAAUCACGAGCUGCUCACUCACCAUCUGUAUCGCAUGAAGUGGCCAUCAACAGGCGCGGCCUCAGGCACGUCGUCGGUGGAGAUUACACCGUUGGGCAGCCGCAGCAGCACGUACGGGGUGAUUUCGCACCCCACGAUCGGGAUCUCCGACGGCAGGUGCACCCGCACCACGCUCAGCAUCCUCCACUCCUGCUCCCCUCCCCUGCUCUCCUCUGCCCAGCCCAGGGGCGGAUCUAGAUGGUGUGCCGGGUGGGCACCGGCACACCCAAAAUUUGUGGACGCUGCGAGGACGGCGGAAGGCCAGGGCGACGUCGGGAGAGGAGGGGAGCGCCGCCGUCAAGGGGACCGGGAGAGCGAGACAGGGUUAGGGUUGGUUGCCUGAGGGUAUUUUUGGGCAUUUCGAAAAUCUAGAGUUGUGUCCAGCGCAUUUUUUUUCUAAACUAGUAUUGCGUAAGCGGGACGGAGUGGUAAUGUUUGUGCAAGACAAGAGAGAGCCGGAGAGGAUGACAUGUUUUUUUUAACGAUAAUAUUAAAAACUAGUCAAAUGUCCAUGGGACAAACUCAUAUGCGAUACUCACCGCAUUUGUAGUUAUAGAUUAAUACCUUUUCAUAGCAGUUUGCAGAGAUGGAACCAUGAAAGGCGUUGCAGACGUAUAAUUCACUCGCUAAAAAAUCCAUAUUGAGAAAAUAAUUAUGUACUUGAUAGACUCGGUCUCACGAAGUUCUGGUAAGAAGCCGGUUCGGAGGGACAAAGUUCCAGAAAGAUGGCCGCAAUGUCACGCACGACCAGGCGAAUUUGUGAUAGUUUUUUUGUUAUGAAAAAGCAAAGUAUAUGUGAUCGGCAUGCGACCUUGUGGAUUGGGGUUGAAAGUGUUGGACUGCAGUGUAUACCUUCAACCCACCACGUCUUGAUUUAAAGGCCAAAUCAACGUAGGAUUCGGACUCCUUAACUAAAUACGAUUAGGAUUCCCUAUCUAUGUCGGAUUUGGUCUCCUAUUCUGUGAUUGGCAAUUGGGAAUUUAGACAUUAAUCCAUAGCUUCUCCAACUCUUUAGUGAUUGAACGUAACGGUUGGUACAAGCUAGGCUGGGCGCGAUGGGCUGAGGCUGAGGCAAACCAACCAUGGACCUCGUACCGUUUAGAUUGAAAAAAGGACAUGUUUUUUUUUGUUUAUCGAUCAGGACGGACAGGCGCACGCACGAGGGUGAGUUGGAGGUUCAGAUCGGUUGGGCUUAGUGGAAGUUUUAAUGAAAAAGGCCUACGGACGUUCGCCAUCACCACCGAUUGUAAUAUAAUAGACAUUGUAGAUUAGUUAUGAUUUGGACCACCGGGCACCGGAACCCAAGCUGCUCAAUUUUGGCAAAAUUUGCAGAAAGCAAACUCAAACCCGAUGGCUCCUAUGUAGAUGGGAGUGAACUCAGAGUAUUCUCAUCGUGUUGCUACAAAGCUUUUCUUUGAUGAUGUUCCCUCCGUUGUGUUUCCCUUGCGUGCUCAAGGACACAAUGUUGUGAUUGAGGAAAUUGUUGAUGACCCUAGCUCUGCCAUCUUCCGUCCGUAAGUGAGGGCACAAGCAGCGCGUUGCUACUCCAGAAGUAACUUCAGGUCUGUGCCAUAGUUCAUGCUCUACCAUGUUUAGAGGAUUCAAGUCCUAGCUUGUUUCUGAUGUGCAGAAGAAACAGUCCAAGUGUCGAUGUUAUACAUUGUCAGAAUAUGAUUCGGGAUAGCACACGACCAAGGAUUACUACUACUCUUGAUGGCAACAGUCUACGUGUUUAUCAUUUGUUGGAACUCCAAGCACAAAGUGAUGUAACAAAGGGUGUUUUCCCCCACAAGUGUUUUACCCCCAACAAGCACCACAAUGGUUGUCAAUCACAAUGAUCACUAUACAGAAUCACUUAUUUCUGACGCGUUAAAAAACUUCUAGUCUGACGCAAAUGGGACGUGUCACUAAUCAAGUGUCAAAGAUGACUCGGGAACUUCUGACGUGUCAACAAGCGUCAGAAGUAGGAAACCCUAAUGACGCUUCUUGUCGAUUGUUAUUAGAGACAAGUAUCCUCAUGUCGGGUGAAGGCCAUGUUUGUUUGAGCUUCUGCUUCAGCUUUUGGUGGUUCUAGCUCUCUAAAAAGCACUGCUUCCGUUUACACAUGAAGCUGAGAAGCACGUCGUGAGGUGCUUCCCUCCAGAAGCUGCAGGAAGCACCUCCAGACGUGCUUCUCAGCUUCAUGUGUAAACGGGAGAAAUGCUUUUUAGAGGGCUAGAAGCAGCAAAAGCUGAAGAAAAAGAAAAAGCCCAAACAAACAGGGCCGAAGAUGAGUAAGAAGAUAGAGGGGCCUCACGGUGAUAUCUACUCGUGUAAGAUAGAGAACUCGGCGAAAGACAAGGGUUUAUACCGGUUUGACUUGCUCCUUUUCGUGAAAGCAAGCCUACGUCAUGUUGGUAAUCUAAUAUUUGUGUAUGAUAUUACAAGGUGUGUUCUGCCCAUCGAGGGCGCCUAGCCCGCUUUAUAUAGUCAAACAACUAGGGUUUCGGGUAGAGCCGGGUACAACUUUUACAUGGACUGUACCUUCCUAAACUAGUUAGGAUUCUUCCUUUACAAGAUAUCUACAACUAGUAUUUCCUAUUACCUGAACUAGGCUUCCUUCUUCAAUACGACAACUUCCUUGACCGAGUGAUAGGGGAUGUCUGGCUUGUGCGCUGAGUCGACUUUCUCUGUUCAGUCGUCUCUCAGCUACCCGGCUAGAAUAUCCUCGUCAUUAGCCCCGAGUACAAUGUGGAUAGGGGGGAGCUGAAUAAUGCCAUCGUCGUCAAUCUCGAAUCUUUCUCGUUUCAUGUGCUUUUCUUGAGUUGCUUCUUCUUGAUUUUAUUCCGACCUCAAAUCCACAAUGUACUUCUCUAUGACAGCUUGAGGUUCGAGCUCAUGGCUUCUUAUGCAUAAAGUUCAGCUAUAAGAGCAAACCAGCUUCUAUGUGGCAUGUGUUAGCAUUGCAGCGAUAUUAGCUCCUGUUUUGAUUUGUGUUUUUUCCUUAGCUGUAGCGUUGCUUUGAAUUAAUUAGCAACUACGUCGUGCAUGUAAAAAAAAGUGAGUUCCAACAAAUCUCUGACGUGCGCUAGAACAAGAGGUCAGUGAGCAUCAAAAGUAUACUGACGUGGCGACACAAGGAAGAGCUAGGAAAUUCCUCGUGAACAAAGUUGACGCUUCCACAAAGGAAAGAGUCACAUCAGCUAGAAUCUCCUUCGACGCUUACGAAGUAAGGAAGCGUCAGUAGAAAUGAAGAGUCAGAAGUGUGGAAGUUCUCCUACGCUUCUCCGAGGUAGGUGUCAGAAAUAUCUUAUUGACGCUGCCUCGUGGAUGCUACCUAUGACAGUCCUUAUAAGGAGCCGCAGAGAUAAGGAUUUGCGCUGACGCUUUUUAGUUUUGUGUCAGUGGGGAGCUUGCAAGAGUAAAGUCUAUAGUAGUGAGUGUAAGGCUAAACUUUAAAUAAACAAAUAAUAACUUUAAGUAAACUAAUGCAAAACAAUAAUUUAAACUAACUAGAAGAUGCAAUAACUAUAUAAUAAAUACUACUACUUAUUAUGCAACUAAAUAACCAAGAGAGAAUGUUUAAAUGGCUUUUUACAAGAUAUCUAAAAAAAAGCAAUUAAAUAAAUGCAAAAUAAUUGUAACAGAGGUGUUUCUUAUGAUAUUAAAGAGGACCAGGAUACUCUUUGCGGCAUGAAUAUAGCACAUAGGACAAGUUCAUUUACUUUGCAAUGUUUUUAUGAAGUGAAUGAUAAGCAUUCAUAUGGACAUCACGUCCUAAUAUUGAGAAUAUGCAAAAUAUCUCACUAAUGCUCCCUUGGUAAGUGACUCAUCAAACUAGAUUAUUGCUUUAGGUACUUUGACAUGAUGUUGAACUUUAAUGCAACUUUGAGCAAGCAAGACCACCAUUGUUGUCAUUUGGUAGCAUAAUGCGUAUUCAUUUAUCCCUAGCGGGUCAAAUCACUGAAAGGUGAAAAUCAUAGUGGUUCCCAAAAUUUUUGUCACUAUCCGGUUGCCACUACCAAUUGCUCUAUCUAAUACACACAUCCCCACACAUGCACAUGUAAACUAGUAUGAUUAGUACAAGUAAGCAAGAAGGGAUAGACAUAUGCAUCUAUCAAUACAUCAAAACACAAUCCAAACAUUGCAAACUCAUGACUCAUCUCAUAACAAAAGGUUCACCAAUAAAAAAUAUAACGAUGAUCAUAAUCAUGAUAGGAAACUCGUAUGAUUCUAUUACAACCCAUAGCCCAGCGAGGACUACUCCCUCAUCAUAUUGGUGAUGAUAGAGAAUAUGUUCAAGGAGAAGGAGAGGCGACCGAUGGUAUUUUCCCUUCUAAUCUUGGAUCAAUCUGAUGUUGUUUUUUUUCUUUCCGAGUCGUUGUGCUAUGCAAGCGCAAAGCACGGGGUAUUAAUAAAUGGUUUUAGGUCAAGACGAAUCUUCGGGUGAAAGAAUGCACUUGCGGGCGGCCACUCGGGAUAAAAAACAACCAUGGUGAAUUAUGAUAAUCUAGUUUUUUCGACUACUACCUCUGAUCCUAAAUUGUUGUCGUGGUUUUACUUCAAAUUUGUACUAAAACCACGACAAGAAUUAAGGAUCCGAGAGGUAGUUUUUACCUAUUUUUCAAUUCGGCUUACCUAUUAUUUUCUAAUUUUCUUUGUAUGUUUUGACAAAUUCAGCACACUUCAGCAACCCAAACUGAACAUUAGUCCCGUACAGGAUUCCAGAGUGCGUUGUACGCAUGUGUUAGUAUAUUCCUAAGCAAGCAAGAAAAAAAUAAAAAGAAGCAAAUAGUAGCAACUAUCGGUUGAUCCCGGCCCUGGGCCAGGACAAGAAGGGCGACAGCCCGGGCCCGCCCAAUCCAGGGGACCAGAUCAUAUGUGUAUACGCUAGUAGAGAUACAUGUCCAAAUAUUGAUUAGCAUAAAAGAAAGAGGAAAAAAGCUAGAGGCCCAGCAGAUUGCUCCGCUCCUGGCCAACCCAGGACGUAUCAACGUGCUCGAAAAUUCCCCUUGGCACCCGGUAUCCAGGCCUAUGUGUAUCUCAGCCGACCAAUUUUCCAUCCUACGGCUCCAUCCUGCAGCUCCUGUCGUCCGGCCCGUUUAAGUAUACAAUUUGCUAUUCUCCCGUACAGGCGGUAUUUGCACCGGUUGGCCUGACACAUCCUUUUUUAUAUUGCGUUUCCCAGGCUGGCUGGCCCAAGUCCCACCUCGCGCAUUGCUGGGUGAGCACAAGUCCUUUUCUCCCGCUGCAUACCGUGGCACAGGUCUGCCCUUGAGACAUCGCAUUAAAUUUCCAUCAGUCCCAUUUUUUUGGCCCAAGAUUUCUGGGCAGGCACAGGUCCACGCCAUUGGGGGGGCGGUGGCGCGGCUGGCGAGGCCGACGUCGCGGCUGUCGAGGGUGCCUGCCACGGGCGAUGAGUCACCGAGUCAGGCUUCGGUGCCCAGAGCUGAAAAGCGUGCCGCGGUAGACGAUGUUGGGCGCCUUAAUGCCGUGCUCGGACACGAUUCGGUCGGGGACGAAGCUGUCAGUUCCCGCGCAUAGCUCAUCAAGGCUGUACUCUGUGAUCAUCGGCACAGCACUGUCGUCUUCCCCAGUUUCCCCAUUCUCUAUUUCUCUACACAGGGAAAGCAAACAGCAAGGGGAAGAGCAUCCAUCCUGUAAAGCAACGAGCUGCCGGCGAUGGCCUUCUCCACGACCGCGGAGCAACGCAGCGCCGUCCCCGUGCCUUCGCUGGAUGCCCGCUCGCAGCUCCGUGAUGGACCGCUUCCGCACGAGCACCGCCCGCCCGAACGGGUCGUGCGCGUCGGCAAGCGCGAGGGCCGAGGGACACGUUGAGGUGGCCAAAGGCCGGGUCGCUAGGGAAGAACUCCGAGCUGCAGACCGGGGGCGCGGGGCAGGGACGGAUGUUCGGGCAUCGGCCGGACCUCCUCCGUUGGCAGCUUCCGCAGGCGAGGAAAACUUGAGGGGCAACGGCAGAUAUUUGGGAUUUGACGUGGGUAUUGGUGCUCCGAUCUUUCCAUCAGAUUGAUAACUCUCGAUUUGGGUUGAAGAUGACGUUUGACGAUCCGACUACGGUCUAAAAGACAGCGCCUUAGUAAUCAAUACACCAACUACAGAGAGUUAUUGAUCACGCGGGGCACGAUCAACCUGACCACGAAGGUUUUUAUUCCUGCAAGCAAUCGAAAAACAAGCAAGACCAAGAUAAAUAGUGGAUGCAAUCUGAAAUUGCGAAUAUACUAUAUCAAACCAAUGUCUCAAUGAGACGAUAAGUUGGGAUUUCGAAAGUGGUAAAGCAGGUGGUCUAGCCGACAUAGACGAUUACACGAAGUUGUAGCGAUGGCUAACUUUUAACUAAACAAAACCCAAGUCUCCAUAGGGAGGCUAGUGGGGUAUAUAAAAGAGGAGGGAGAGAGAUUUUCGCCCACCUUGAGUAAGGAGGCCGAAAUCCAAAUCUAUUUCUAACUUUUCUAACAAACUAUAACUCUUUAGGAAACAAAAAAACAGAUCCGUCAUCUUGUUUUGUCUGCCACGGCCAGCACGCGUCGAAUCUCCUUGUGGGGUCAAAUCUGUUGGAAAGGUCUUGUAAUUACCUUUCCAACAAGUACUUGUUUGCUUGAUUUGGACUCUGAAUGCGGUCUGGGUGAUUAAAACAAAUUCGGAUCUCCUGACAGCUCGGACCCGAAUCGGAUUCAACUUUAAUUCGUGAUAUCUUUCACUAGCAAGCUCCGAACCAUGUGCCGUUCGAUUUGUUGGAAAGUAGACUUGAUAGGCUUCACCUUGCAUCUCCCGUUGCAUGCUAUCGCACCUCAUCUUCACUUUGGAUUUGAAAAGCUCGACCAAAUAUCUACAUAAUAAAAUGAUACAAGAUAGUAGCUCUGCCUCUUCAUGCAUAUGGCAUUGAAAACAAAUAGUACUUGACUUCACCUGAUUAUAAAAUGUUAUCGAAUACUCUAGAACUGAGGGUGCCAAAGGUUGUAUCUAUGGUUAGCAUGUCCAUAUCAUCUUCCCUUUCUUGAAACAAAAGCCGUCCUCGGUGUCGUUUGUGCUGAAAAGAGACUGACAAAACAGACAAAGUGUGUGCAUGGGUAUAUGUACAUGUCAUCCAUCUUUAUACAUCUCCUUUCUUGCACAAUUAAUGUUUUAUAAAAAAAUCUCAUGAGAUAAGUAGUCAAACAAUCAUCAUGAAUUACAUUCCAGCAAGAAGAUUGACAAUAUGUUUUGCAUAUAUAAGUGAAACAAUAUCUUAUACUAGUAAAAAGCCCGUGCUUUGCUACGGAAGAAGACUUUCUUUUAAAAACAUGCUAUAGGUUAAUUUUCAAAUAGUCGGCUGACUUGGGCUUGCGGGGCUGCGGCUUGGGCUGAAAGGUGGAGAUGGGGUUGGUGGGCCUGAAGGGGGCUCGGGGUUGCUGGGUUGCUGUGGGAUCGAGGCAGCGGGGAGGUUGAAGGCACGGGAGCAAGGGGAGGCAGUGCCGGCGAGGUGGACGAUGGGAGCAGCACGCGAGGGUGCUGGGCUGCCACGGUGACUGGAGCUUGGCGACAACGUUGGCGGAUUGCAGCAGCGAGGGAGAGGAGAAGAGGGCGCAACGAGUAAUGAAGGCAGGAGCGCCAGAGAGAGGAGGCGGCUAGACAGAGGAGAUCGGGAGGGAGAAAGGAGCUCGAGGGGAAAGAUGAAGGAGCAUAGGGGAUAUCGGGGAGGACCGGCUGCCUGGUUGGGUGGACGGGCAGGACAAGAAAAGGGGACGAGAGCGAGAGGGAUAGGGUUCGAGGAAGCCCGCAGAGGUUAGGGCUCGGGGGUCAGACGGAUGUUUUUCGGGACUGGGGAUAUGCAGUGGCAUAUUGAGCGUAAUUUUAAUGGAGUGACGUACCGCGACACCUGUACCAUCACCACCAACUCCAAUUUAAUAUAUUUGUAUAGAUUUAGUUUGCACCGCUCACCAUUAUACCAUCCCAACACUGGAGAAUAAUAAUUAAUGGUACCCAAAUUAGUUACUACAAGAUGCUGAAAUUUAGAGCAAGUCAAAGCAGUAAUAUUCAAACAAUCGUGUAAACAACUAUUUGGCAAAUAAUCAACACCAAUAUUGGAGAUCAUAUCAAAAUAGUUAAGCAUAUGCAAGAAUUUAUUUUCUCCCAAGAUAGUAAAAUUAUCACAAGUAAUACAAAUUUCAUGUACCAAAAAGUUAUUAUUCACAUCAUGUUCUCCAAUUAGUUGAAUAGUGGAUCCAUGAACAUUAGGAAAAGAUUUUGAAAUUGUUAACUUGGACACUUUUUCCAUUGCAUAUGAUAAAUACAUAUGUGUAUCAAGUGUAAUAUAACACAAAGAAUUAAUAGGUGGAUCCUUAUGAAUCACUCCAUGUCUAAUUAACUCGACACAACCUAAGCCAAAUUUAUCUAUCUCACAUGUUUCUCCCAAAGCAUUAGUUCUGUCCUGACAUGAUUCAUGCUCAUCAAUAUCAAAAUUAAUAUGUGCACUAAAAUCAUUAGAAAAAUUAAUUUCAGCACUAGGUGUACUCAAAUCAGCAUGUAAAUCAACAAUUUCACAUGGUGCAGAAAAUUCACCGAGUAUCUCAUUUAUUUCAUCACAUGUCAUAUUUAGUUCAGGAACACAAUCAUCUUUACCAUUACCUUGUGGUCUCGACUCAUUUGUAGUAGACCUUCACUGUAAUUUCCUCUCAACUUCACGAGCAAGAUUAAGCAAACACAAAAAAGAGUCGUAUUUUCCAUAUUCAAUUAUGUAAGAAAUAUCAAAGUUAAGCCCACAAUAAAACCUAUCCAUUUUUGUUUGUUCGGUUUCAUCUAAACCAGAUCGCAAGGUUAGAAUUUGGAACUCCUGAUAGUAAUCAUCAACAGUUUUAUCAUCUUGUUUCAAACGUCGUACUUUUGCACGCAAGUUACAAGCAUAACUAAAAGGGACAUAUUUUUCUCUCAUGAUUUUCUUCAUAUCAACCCAAGUGUGAGGAAUUUUCUUUUCUCUAACUAUCUCACUCCACCAAGAUAAAGCAGCAAAAGUAAAUUUACUACUAGCAAUUUGGAACUUGCGACUAUCAAGUACAUGGAAGCAUGUGAAUUGUUCAGUUAAAGCUAUCUCCCAAUCUAUAUACGUUUCAGCAUCAUUUUCCCCCUUAAAGAAAGGUACACACAAUUUAAUUGUAUUGGAAGGAUUGUUUCGUACCGUUGCCGUCGCAUUGUCAACAAAAGACGUGGAGGAUGGCCAUGGUGAAAAGCACUCAUCGCGGUCACGGGAUUGCAUCGGUCUAGUUCCCAUGCUUCGUGUAAGUCCUGUCAUUGUUAGUAGAAAACAAGAAACAAAUCACAGUAAUAUGUUCCUAUCAACUAAUAGGAUGUGGCUACAAGUCGUUCAACUCUCAAGCUAAAAAUCAAGUUCUUACAAGUUCUUACCAUGCAACAAGAAGGUGAUGGCCAGCGGCUUGACCAAGCCCCUCCGAGGAUUAAAUGUAUCAAUGCCUCGGUAACAAACCAACCUAGGUGUAGAAUCUGUGUAGCUUGGAAGCUUUUGUGAGUAGCAAGGAAUAGCAAAUAAUCAAACAGCAAUGCAAAGUUGAAAAUAUGCUAAAUAAUGCUAGUCCUAACUGCUGGAGUCGAUAAUAACGAAUUACAGAAAUAAUCUAAGCCUAGAUAGUGAAGAAGGUAGGAUAGAAAGAUCAAAAUAAAGGUAAAACAACUAAAUCUCUAGGAUUUUUCUUUUCUUUUAUUUAUUUAUUUAUUUAUUUUUGUGGCCUUCUGUUUGGCUUCUUAUUCUUUUCUUCUUUUUUUAUUUUUUUAAUCCCAGAAACUCAUGCAAAAGAAGUAAAGACCGGAAAACUGCACGUCGGUCUGUCGAAGAACAGCAAAGGGUGCUGUAAGAAAAUGUCAGAAAAAUAUGGAAAAAUAUAGGUUAGGAGCGUAUCGAAACAAGCUUUCCAGGAAGUGCAAGAUCACUCAAAUCGGAGGCCGGACGAUGGAGAUAACGUAAAAACACCGGCCUGCAGCGAUGCCGGAAACCGGAUGCAGAAACUUGGAAGCUCUGAAAGUCCACCUUACAAACCGAGUUUGAGGGUCAAGGAGUCAGUGCGAUGCCCUGGAUAUUUUCUCGUGCGCUUCGUCAUGAGCUUUCCAGAAAGUACUAGAAGGUCCAAAUCUGAGUUGGUGACCGUUUUACUGAACACGGGUCAAACCCACUCGAAACUAUAAUUCUCCUGAACGUGGAUCUGAAACUGAUUCUUUUUCUCUCUCUUUUUUUUCAUUUUUUUUCCUUUUUUUUCCUUCCUUUUCUUUGCUUUUUUUUCACAACUUUCCGAACAACUUGAUCUCUAAACAAAAUUCGAUCUAUUAUGAAACACUUUCCAAAAGCACUCUCGAUUGGACUCGGACUCGAACCCGGAGAAGGACUCGGUGUAUGACUCGAUGGAAGAUUAUGGCGUGGCGGUGGUGUGGCAGGGAGUUUGGCGGCAGAAAAUUGAGGAAGGAAACCUGCGUCACACGAAGAACAAGAAAACCAAAAGCAAGUUCGAUCUAGUAGAAAAAGUCUGAAAAACGAUCCAAUCUAAUCCAGCAACUCGACACGAUUAAUGCAGCAAAGGUUCAACAAUGCAAAUACUAAUGUGAAAAUUGCAAGGCUCAGAUUGGUUUUUGGGACGAAGGUAAGUAAUCUCUACUUUUUUAUUGUCUUUUUCUGGACUAUAGGUAAAACAUAUCUAAACUAUGGAAAAAUACCACGUGAUGUGGGUCGGGGUGGCCCGAUAUUUCGAUGAGAUUGAUAACUCUCGAUUUGGGUAGGAGGUGACGUUGACGAUCCGACUACGGCCUUGAAAGCAGCGUCUUAGCAAUCGAUACACCAACUCCAGAGGGUUAUUGAUCACGCGGGGGCACGAUCAACCUGACCACAAAGGUCUUUGUUCCUACAAGCAAACGAAGAACAAGCAAGAACAAGAUAAAUAUCGGAUGCAAUCUGAAAUUGCGAAUAUACUAUAUCAAACCAAUGUCUCAACGAGACGAUAAGUUGGGGUUCCGAAAGCGGUAAAGCAGGUGGUCUAGCCGACACACGCGAUUACACGAAGUUGUAGCGAUGGCUAACUUUUAACUAAACAAACCCAAGUCUUCAUAGGGGGGCUAGUGGGGUAUAUAAAGGAGGAGGGAGAGAGAUUUUCGUCCACCUUGAGUAAGGAGGCCGAAAUCCAACUGUAUCUCUAACUUUCCUAACAAACUACAACUCUUUAGGAAACGGAAAAACAGAUCCGUCAGCUUGUUUUGUCCGCCACGGCCAGCACGCGUCGAAUCUCUUGUGGGGCCAGAUCUUUUGGAAAGUUCUUGUAAUUACCUUUCCAACAAGUACUUGUUUGCUUGAUUUGAACUCCGAAUGCGGCCUGGGUUAUUAAAACAAAUUCGGGUCUCCUGACAGCUCGGACCCGAAUCGGAUUCAACUUUAAUUCGUGAUAUCUUUCUCUAGCAAGGUCCGAAUCAUGUGCUGUUCGAUUUGUUGGAAAGUAGACUUGAUAGGCUUCACCUUGCAUCUCCCGUUGCAUGCUAUCGCACCUCAUCUUCACUUUGGACUGGAAAAGCUCGAUCAAAUACUUACAUAAUAAAAUGAUACAAGAUAGUAGCUUUGCCUCUUCAUGCAUAUGACAUUGGAAACAAAUAGUACUUGACUUCACCUGAUUAUAAAUAUUAUCGAAUACUCUAGAAUUGAGGGUGCCAAAGGUCGUAUCCAUGGUUAGCAUGUACAUACCAGGCUUGCAGUACGAUGCCCGGAGCUGGGGGAGAUGGCGCUGCACAUGUCGUAUCUGAAGGAGGCGGCGAUUGAGGUGAAGAAGACGGUGGGGGAUGAGACGGUGACAGAUGGGGAAGAGAGGUAGAUGAGGGCGAUGAAGGGAAUAUGCCCUAGAGGCAAUAAUAUUGUAUUAUUAUAUUCCCAAGUUUGUAAUUGAUGUUUAUAUUUCUAUGCUAUAAUUGCAAUGGUUCUUGAACGUGAGAUUCGGAGGAAAACUCAUUUGCAUGUGUGGAAACAUAAACCCUAAUUUAAAGGUCCCUAGUCACGCCUCUUUGACUAGCUUAUAUAUAAUUGAUGAUUCUGUUUUCCUGAUCAUGAGCAUACGAUGCUGGUUAUAUAUGAGAGCACAUUGUUGGUUGAACAAUGGUGUUGGAUUGACCCAACUAAUGAUAUACCGAGAGAUCACAUCGAUUACUUGUUAUCGGUAUUAUUGUUAUUGUUGUAAUUAUCAUUAUCCUUAGACCAUGAAAAUAUCGUAUGAUAUUUAUAUCGGAAGGAUAAUUUGGGUGUUACUUAUUGUUUCCCGUAAUAGGGUUAUCAUGACGGUGAUUUCCGGGUACUCCGGAAAGUACGAAUUGAUUCGAUAGUUCAAGAUUGGGAUUUGCUCCUCUAUCGGUGGAGAGAUACACUAGGGCCCACUCGGUACGAAGAUAUCUAUCACCGUCUGGCCAGACACAAGAAUGAUAUGAUCAUUGAGAUAUCGGAGUACGGAAUGAGUUAAAAGUACAAAACCGGUAACGGGGAUAGCUAGGUACAAGUGGAACAAGGGUUGGUUCACGGGCGUACCGGAAGUCUCACCCCGGGUUUUGUAAACGUAUCGUGAAGCAAAGGGAAAUGGUUUUUAGUAACAAAUGGUUCACUUGAAAGUCUUCGUGUAUGUGUAGUAAUUAUUGAGAGUGUCCAGGCUCUUUAAAUAAUUAUUGACUGGGUCAUAGCUACACAUUUCCCAACCUAGGCGGUCAGACGCUUAACGACGAAUGGUUAUUUGAAGGUCUAAAGUUUGGAAUUUGGUCAAGAGUUGAAUACUGAAGUUGUUCAGAAUGACGAGACAUAUUUUAUGGAGGUCCUAAAUGUGAUUUAGGAGUUACAGAAAUAUUCGGAGUAAUCAUGAGUGCUUCCGGAAGGUUUUAGAAGCCUCUAGAAGGAUCCGAUGGAAAUUCCGGAAGGUCAAAUGGCAAAAGGUCAAAAGUCAAAGGUGGGUCAAACCCUGGUCAAAGGUUGACCAUGGGGGCCAGCCAUCUUGGUUUGGAGAAGGGGUUAUAAGACUCCUAUUAGGAGUUCAUAUCUAUUCCUAUUAGAGGUAGGCGUGCUACUCUUUUUGGAGGAGGACUCUUUUCGUCCUUUGGCCGGACGCCCUCCUAUAUAAGGAGGGGAGGGGUGGCCGGUUAUAGGGGCACUCUCGCUAGUUGUCCUUUGCCCGUCAAGUUCGAGCUCUCUCAUCUAAAGUUUAGACGUCUAAUUAGUAAAUCGUCUACUUUCCGAUCUAGUUUCUUCCAGCGGUUCUUCGUACUGGACGUGAAAGUGCUGCUGAACUAUUCCUCCGGGACGUGUGGAUACGUGUGGAGAGAUCGCCCACUUCGAUCUUGCAGGCGGAUCGCUGUUCGUCUACUUCAAGCUUUCAGGCGCAGCAGAUCGUGCGAGGAAUAUUCUCACGGCUGGGCGGUAUAACCUAACUGCGGGAAUCUGCUACAGGCUUCAACGACAAUCUAUUUCCGCUAUGGUUUUUUGGUAGAUGAUCAAUCUAUCGCAUCCGCAUAGUGAUCUUGAUUGGUUCGUUCGUAGGAAAAUUUUAAUUUUCUGCCUACGUUCCCUUUCAGGCGAAUGGAGGCGGUGGAGGGACCCGAGACGUGGGGUGGGCGGCCUGCUGUGCGUAUUUUAUUUAUUUUCUUUACUACUACUACUACUUAAGCCACAGUUAUGUCCGUGGUUUACCGUAAGUCCUCCCACCCCCCACAGAAAAAAAAGUCCUGAAAAAAUCCGGUCCCCCCACCCCUUCUGAGGAAACAUUCGCCCAGAAGGAAAUAUUCAAUCAACCAUCAAUUGAUUGAGUUCAAAAGAUGACCCAACGCAUUAGGCAACUCUUGGAGAGAUUUCAGGAGAGUAUGGAAAGAUUGUUAGGAGUUGGCCGAGUUGUGGGAGUGAUUUCAGGAAAGGACAUCUUGGUUAGUUGCACGUAUAGCGUGAGUUUAGGGGCUAACGGUCUGAGAUUGGCUGUUAUUUAUGGCAUGCUUUGUAAUCUUGUUUUUGGAAACAGAAAGAGGAAUAGGAAAGGAGAAAAUCUCGGGCUGUGAGAGGCAGCCUCGAGGCCCAAACCUUGCCUUCCUUAUGUUCGUGGUGUUGCCAAGAAAAGAGAUAUCGUGAGAGAGGGAGCUGCAGCGACAGAGAAGAAGAACUGGAGUUGCAGAUUCCUGCCGCGGCAGGAAAUAUUCUGCCGCGGAAGAAAAUCUGCAGGCUGGAGCUGCGUGAGGUAGACGGGGAAGAAGAAGGGGAGCAGCAGCGGCUAGCUGCUCCAACAUAGCCUUAUCAGUUGCCGGGUAUUAACUGGACAAUUCCUAAUCAUGCUUCAUGAAACGGUGCUAAAACAUUGUCCUGUGUCGCAAGUCCCAACAAUCCUAAUGGAUUUCAUUCUGCCGAGUCAUUAAAGGUCUGUGCUUGUUACUCCUAAUUCUGAUCAUAGUUAUUGUAACGUGCUUCUAUCUAGAAGCCGAUGUACACCUAUCAUGUUUGUCAGUUAUAACUUUGUAUGCUUUAAGAAGAUCUAUUUUGUACUUUGGGCUAGGUAUUUUCUACUUCGUAUGCUUCAAGGAAGGUAACUGACUGAGAUGAGAUGCAUAGUUGUUGCCAGAGAGAAGGGACGUUAGCACGUGGCAAACGUGGUUAGCAAUAAAAAUGCAAUCAGAGAGAAGGGAAGUUGGAGAAUGAAACAAAUAUUUAUUGUGAUAGGUUAAAAGUUAUACACAAUUAGUGUACAUAUUUAUUUUUAUUUAUUUAUUAUUUUUCGUUGCAACGCACGGGUACUUUGGCUAGUAUAUUUAUUUGGAGAACAUCCGUAUUUUAUUUGGUGGGCGAUGGAACAAGACAGACAUGUACCAUGCCUUCUUGGUUUUGAGUUGGUCCAGAAACAUCUCACAAAUGGUCCAACAACCCAACACAAAUGACCUAGUAUUACUCACUGUUCUAUACCAAUAGUGGGCCAAAAAGCGGAAAUUCCAUUUGGGUCCUGGGACCCCCUCCCUAUCUCCAUCAUUCCGCCGAUGUUUGAUGUUUGCUUUUAGACCCUGUUUGUUUGGGCCCUGAUGGUCGCCCUUUGCGUAUUUGUGAAAUCAUAGGUGAUGUGUAACAUUGGUAAGUAUUUUAGAUGAAACAUUGAUGUGGAUACUUUGGCUAAUAUGGAUUGACGAAGAUGUAACUUCGACAAUGUCCAUAUUGAUGGACUUGUAUCAAGGAAAGAGGAGUGUGUGUUGGCGAACUCGUCGGCUAACAAGGACACAGGGGACACGAUUUACCCAGGUUCAGAGCCCUCGAUGAGGUAAUACCCCUACGUCCUGCUUGUCGGAUCUGUAUUGAUGAGUCGAUUACAAUAGGGUGCCGCAGAGUCUAGACGCACCGAGUCGUCGAGUGCGUCCAGGCGACUUGUAUCUAAGCUCGGGGGGUGUCCUCUUGGCUCCCCCUCCUGGUCCUUUAUAUAUGCAGGAACUCACAUCCGAGGUAGAGUCCAAGUAGGUUACAAUGAAAAGACAUACUCUAAUUAUUCUUCCUUAUCUUGAGUCGCAAGAUUUGGCAUGUAAACUCCUGGAGUCGAAGUAGGCUUCCUUGUGGGCCCCUAGCUGGGCUGUAUCGGGUAUACUCGAGUCGAGUACGUGGUUAGUCAUAACCACGUCAUGGAUACUUAUGUGAUGACAUGUAUCUUGUUUGGACUUAGUGGUUUGCUAUUGGUGUGUUGAUCCAUUAGUUUCUUAUGUAAAAACAUGGCGUGAGUUGUGUUGAAACUUACCUUGAGUGAAGUCGUGGACUUGUGCUCGUACUGGUUAUUUGUGUGUUCACUUUCAGGUGUUGCCGGAGCUAGAAGAACAUGGUCGGUGAUGGGAUCGAGGGACGAAGCUUGGGAGAAGCUGAGGUCAAGGGAUCAAAGUCAUGCGAGACGUUCAUGUGAAGGAACAAUGGAAGUGAAAUAUACGAUGAUUCGGGAGGGCACCGGUUUGUCGUAUGUUGUUUAUACCGGAGAUGUAUGGUAUUGUAGAUAUUUGACACGUGAUGGUCGAGUUUUGAAGACAUCACAAGAAGAGUCAAGGAGUCCAAACAAGACCAGAUGUUCCCUAUUGUUAUCGGGAACGAGACUAAAUGUUCGGCCUUAAUGAGAUGGACCUUGAUUCCUCUCCGGCCAGGAAAAGAUGCGGCUCCUCUUUGUUUUGUUCUACUACCUUCAUCCUCGGGUGAAGCCGGUUGGCUCACCAAACAAGAGGCCUACUGUUAAAUCAUUGGUAACCAUGCCUAACGGUCGGUCCUCUAAGCUAUCGGCCAAGGCAAGUGAGAGCUGUUCAAGAGUUGGGGGCAUAUCUUUAGCUCGAGUAGCAUUCGCUCCCAAAAUGUGUGGCAUCGACGUGAAGACAUGUAGGUCCAGCCGUGGCUGGAUGAGAGCUGUUUAAAGACUAAACAAUAGUGUCAUGAAUAUGGCGUCCGAUGGAAAAGUGGUCCAUAUGGAAGUUGUGCGCGUCGUGACGCUGUGUGAAUGCUUUCUUUUGGCCUACGGGCUCCUACCUCCACAUCGCGUGCUUCGUGACGCUGUGUGAAUGCUUUCUUGGAAUAAAUCCCCAUAUGGGUCUUUGGAAGAGAAUGUUCACCAUCAAGCGCCAAGGCAAGGAUGCGAUUGGAUGGGUGAAUAUUCAAACUCAUGCGGAUGCCAAAUUCUUCAACCUCCGAGAGAGGGCAUCAUCUUCUCGAUGGAAAUCGAGGUGGUUCUUUGUCAUGGAUGUGCCGGCCGAAGGACGCGACUUCAGUCUUCCCGAAUUCUCCGUGACCACGUCGGUGAAGAAGACGAUGGCCUGGAGUCAUAAAUUGGGAGGAACAGAGGGUGAAGAAGCCGAGACUCUAUUGGCCCGAGUUCUGUCUCUCAUGGAGACUCCUCAGUUGAAGGUGACUAGAAUUCACCUCAUUGCCGCUUUUAUCCGGAGAAGAAUUCAGCCUCUGCAGGCUCGUGCUCAUCCCAUGUGGGCAUAUCGGGGGGGUUCAUGACUCGACCCGAUUUAGUACCGAGGAAUUUCGUUCGACUGAAGUGUGUCGACGAGUUCGGCGACUUACUAACUUGGACGAGUCGGAGCCCUGCGAGAUUGACCCUCCAGUGGCUCCCUAUGGGCCUGACAGGUCCCUAGAAAAGAUGACCACCGAAGCGUCUGACAAGCCCUGCUGUUUUUUGGCAUGAAUUAUUUCUGAUCAUGGUUUUGAUUUUAGGGACCCGAUAAUGAUCUAAGCGGCGCUUCCCCACCGGCAAAGAAGCGCGGCAGAGGAAAAUGACUUGUCGGUACAGACCCAAAUGAUAAGCUUGAGGGACCCGAACGUCGGGCCGUCAGUGUCUGUACCUGCGCUCAAGAGAACCAAGUCCGACGGGCCAAUCGCGACUCUCGCUUUGGUCUUUUUGCAUGACUCAACCGUGCCAGGUGAAUCUUUUAGCCAUCUUACUUCAGUAUCCUAGAGAUUUUGACUGAACCUCUAAAAACUUCUUGAUUAGCCAUACUAGUGGCUCAGUUGAGAGCAAAAAGGCUCCCUGGACUCAAUCGACUGGUCAGGACUUGAAAGGGUCGGACCAGCCGACUAAACAAAAGACAGCCCAUACCAAGGAGGCUUCGGCGGCUAAUCCGAGCAGAGGAAGUCGACCAGAUGAGUCGAGCGUUCCUCAGGCGACGGUUCCUGCGUCGAGUCGACACGUGAGCAAAUUUGUCAUUUGCUAUUACCUGCCUCCCGGUGGGAGUGACACUCAAGAAAUGACUUGAGAUUGCUUUUUUGUUUGUAGCCAAUCAUCCGCUCCAUGGCAACUCUUAUUGAAGAGUUUGAGGAGACGAAAGCAGAUCGGGAGCGACUUCGAGAAGAGCUGAGUCAAUGAAGCGAUCCUCCCCCUUACAAGGGUUCGAUCUCUGUGCUUACCGUGCUAGUCCCUGGAUCGACUCACUAGCACACACAGUUUCAUGAUGAAAUAUACAGAAACAAAGGUCAAAAGUACUUUAUUACAUCGCAUCAUUCAGAAUUUAAAUAGUACUUACAACCUCGCAUGACCUCUUGGCCAGCAUAAAACAAAUACUGUUUCAUCAUCAUAAAACAAUGUUUCAAAACUGCAGCGGAAAAGGGUAGAACAAAAGGGCCUCAACUACUCCAAGGUGAGAGCAUGUUGGAAUGUAAGCACAUGACCCAUGACAAAACGACGAACCUCACUCAUCGUCGGAUCCACCUGCAUUGUAAUUGCAGCCACUACGUGGUCAAUACAUUUGAAUGUAUUGGCAAGUUCACCAGAGUUAUAAAGGACCUACCAAGUAUAUGCAUAAUUUGGCUAGGUGGAGUUUGGCUGUUUGCAUAAAAGCAUCAUAGUUCAAUCCUAUCAUUUUUAAACAAUUAGUUUUGAAUUCUAUUGGACACGGGAUAGAAACACCCAUGCUCCUAUUAACCUAGGCACAUUGAGUAGAAACAUCAAUGCUCCUACCCAGUUCAAACCAUUCUUUUUAUUAGGAAAUUGGAAUGAGUGAGACCUUUCUUACAGCCCCAAUAUCUAGUUGCUCAUAAUUGUCCGUAACCGGGGACACGGCUAAGUACUUAGUUUGACACUCUCGAGAGGUUGUACACAUUCCCCACAAGAAAUCGACGUGUUAAUCCCUUGCUGUCCUCAGGGUAGAGUAGCAACGGCAUCGACUACAGGAUUUUUCAGAACAUAAUCUCCCAGACCACCUGAUGGACGCGCCCCCACCUACACUGCUACAUACCGAUGUCACCUCGGAUCCGGGUUCAUAUUUCUUACAUCCAUCCUGGCAGAGCCCAUAAUACCAUGUGGUUGUACUGGAAUCUACUAAACAAGAAACUAGUCCAGUCUCUGGUUACCCCGGGUGGCAUUCCUCAGUUGCAACGCAGGCGCUCCCAUAGAAAUGGUGAGACGACUCAUAGAAAUGGACCCAUAGAAAUGGACCUGACGUCGCAUACAUCUCCACUUCCUCAAAGCAGCCCACCCAGGACGGUUUAUUGAAUUACUUGUUUUGCCGUACACUAGGAAAACCAUAUUGUAAUUCAAUAGUAUCACAUUGUAAUAAUACCACCCUCGUAUAUUAUCAUAUCCUAGCAUUUUACUACCACGAUGGCAAUUGGUGGUGGGAACAUGGCAAAGGUAUUCUACACUAUUAGGAGAAUCAUAGCAUAGCAUAGAUACAAUAAUAAUCCUAACAAUGCAACUAAUAAAAUCUAGUGCAUAAUAAAGUAAUACGUGAAUGAUCAAAGUGAACUUGCCUUGAUAGUAGUUGGUAUUCAAACACUCUUCGCAAUCACACAGUUCGUUCUCCAAGAAAACUAAUCAAAUACAAACAUUGCAUACAUAAGCACACAAUACAAUCAAGAGUAAAAAAGUAUGCCAUGAUGCAAUGUAAAACAUGUGACAUGAGCUUGGUUUAUUUUAUUUGAGUGAUCUACUGAUCCUAAGCAUAAGUAAUUAAAACAAAUGCAUUAGCGUUUUAAAUAGAAAGGCAAAGGCUAGGGUUUAAACCCUGAAAUAAGGUUUUAUUUGCGUCUGCAAAGAAAUUUAAUUCAAAAUAUUUAUUUCUCUGUCUUUAUGGACAGAGGAUAAUAAAAUAAAAUUUUGGGCACUGGUUUCAUUCAAAAAGGACUUCUAAAUAAUUAGUUAUGAUUUAAAUAGUAUUAUACCUUAUUCUGUAAUUUGAAUGUGAUUCAAAUUUUCAAAUUUAAAAAUGGACAGUGCCAAAAGAUUCUACACUUCCUAAGGAUUUCAAAAAGGUGUGGAUCAUCAAAUUUGGCCAAACAGAUUAAAAGAUAUGAUCAUUUGAAGUUAGAGGGGCUUUUCUGCAAAAGUGCCAUUUCUAAUUAUUCCGGGAAUUAAAAUUAGAUUUUCGUUUUAUAAAAUAGGUGCCACAUGUCACGUUCUCAUUGGUGCGUACCGGUUCGGUUAAAAAUAAACACGGGAUCUAAUCCUAGCCCUCGGAUCUGGAUCGGACGGACGGGGCGGGCUAGGGUUUACCUCCGUGGCGGCGGCGGUCGCCGGAGACGAGGGAGACGGCGGCGCGGGCACGGGCGGGCGGCUCCUCCGGUGAAGUUGACGGCGCGGGGAGGUGCUGGGUCGACACGGCGCGGUACGGCGAAGUCGGGGGCGAGGUCGGCGCUCCUCGGGGUCGUCGGGGUGCUCGCCUAGGAUGGCGCGGAGACAGCGGCGAGCGGCGGACGGCUCCGGAUCUUCGGCUUGACGACGGCGAGGCGCUGCGGCGCGCAAAAAGGAGAAACGGACGCAUCAAAAGAUGCGCAAGGACGAAGGAAAGCGAACGGCUAGAAAUGGGCAGAGUUUUGACCUUAGGGUUCACCGGCGGCGACCAAAACGUGCGGCGGCGAGCGACGAGCUCCGGCGAGCGAUUCCGGCGGAGUGGGCGCGUGAGAGAGAGGGGAACGAAGGGGGAAGAAGAGAGGGGGGCGGGGGGCAGAGCUUUAUGUUGACGCGCUCGGGGCUGCGAAAUAUGGACGGAGCGCAGAGAUCUCGGCGGAGACGGCACGCGGUGGCGAAGAAGGAAAGCGGCGGUGGACGCGGGCGCUUUCCAUCGGGAACGAAGACCCUGACGCGUGGGUCCCACGCGUCAGUGGCAGCGGGCACGCGCGCGUGCGGCGGGGCCAGUCUGGCUCGGUCGGGCGCGGUCGGAGGGGGCUGGUCCGGCCCAUUUUGGCGGGGCCGGUCCGGUUUUCUCUUUAUUUUUCUUUUAGCCCUUUUGUUUUUUCUGUUUUUCCUAUUUCUUUGAUAUCUUUUGAUUUUUACUCCAAAUUGGUCCAAAUAAAUUCUAGAAAAUUUCUAAAAUCAUGUUCUAUCAUGAUUCAACUUUUGGGAGUAAUUUCCCUUCAAAAUAAAAUACCUAAAAAUACAUUUUCCCUAUAAAUGCCUUUAGGGCUAUAUAACUAUUUAAAUAAAAUAGUUUUUCAACUCCAAAUAAUUGUCCAAAAAUUAUGGAAUAGCUCAUUUAUGCAAUAAACCCCUUUUAUAAAUAAACCUUAUUGGUUUAAAGAUUCAAAGCUCAAAUGGGUGUAAACCCUAGGGUUUAAAUUGAAAUAAAAACUUUUAAAGCCUUUUGAGAUUCAAAUUUGAAUUCAAACGUGCAAUUGUGGCAUGAUGCUUAUGAAUGCAAUGCAUAUGAAAGGAUUUGAAAUUUUGGGAUGUUACAGUCAAUGUCGCCAAGAGCUGCAGGACGUGGCCGCCGAAAAGAGUCGUCUUCAGGAACGUAUAGACUCCCGUAUUUCCGCAGAGAAAGAGCGGGAGAAGGUUUGGAUCGAGCGACUCGAAAGUGCUACUCACUCAGUUGCUGGUGAGCGCUUGAACCUGUUAUUCGAGUGGCUUUUCCUUCUCGUGGAAAAUUUUGACCGUUUCUCUGUCCUUUUGCAGGAGUCCUUGAUGCUUCCGCAUAGGUCCAAUUCAAAGAGAGAAGCCGAAGCUUCAAUGAUGUUUUAGAAAAUGUUGAAGUCAUCAAUGAUGAAGCCAAGGGCAAGCUCCGGCAAGCGACAAAGAUUCUGACCACCGUAAUCAGGAAGAUGACUCCUGAUGGGUCAGUGCCGGAGUCGCUGAAUGGGCUUAUUGAAUUUUUUGCAGCGAGUCAUGACCCGGUAGGGGAGUACUACUGAUGCUGAGCUAUUCUUUACGCUUGCUCUUGCGCAUGGCAUUGAGGAAGACGCUCUCCAUCGAGUAACCUCUCGAUCGAGAGCAGGUGACUCGGUCAACCUAGGGCCCCUUAUGGGAAAGGGCAAAGAGCUGGCUGAGAUCUCGUUGCGGCAGCCACGUAGAUCAAUUGAGGAGAUGAACCUAGCUUCAUCCAGCGGCCCAGAGGUGGGUGAUCUUUCACUAGAUAUAUUUGAUUCUCUUUCUCCUUUGUGAAUCUUCUUCUUCUGUUCUUAUACCUUUGUAAAGAACUGCUCUAGCUGAGCCCUUUUUGGAAAGAAAUCAAAAAAUCUUUAUUUCCAUCCCGAAAGGGGUUCUUCAGGAUAAAUGCUGAGGUAACUUGUGUCUUUUCCGCGCAGAGGGAAAAAGGACCAUCGAGUCACUCGAUUCCAGGUGCAGCGGCAACCUCUCGCAACGAUGCUCCAGCCGAUCCUAGCGGAAAAGGUCAGGCUGGGUCGGCUUUGUGCCCAGAGCAGUUACGAGAAAUUGAGGCUCGAUUCACUAAAUUGAAGCGUGACACGCUGGGUGACGCUCAGAGUAGCAAAUCUAGCCUGAAAGCUGCGACCAACCGGGAAGAGUUUGUCUUUGGAGAGCUUCGCAGCCUGAGCAGCCAAAUCCAAGGUAAGGAUCGCAAGACUUUGCCUUUCGAGUCGGUCUGCAAAGUGAUCUUACCGUCUUCUGUGCAGUUGUUCGCUUUGACCCUGACGAUGAAAAGGCCAAAGUGAAUACCGCCAUUCAAGCUCGCAGAGUGCAUGAUCCAUCAUCCUUUUCGCUGGAUCAGUCAAGGAGCUACGACUUGAUGCUGUUGAUCGAGCGGAUCAAGCAGGUCAAAAGGUACUUGACCUCCUGCCGUGACAUGCUAGCUUCGACACAUCUGGCCUUAUGGCCACAGGAGAAGGUGCCUCGUAAACCGGGCAGCCUGAUGGUGAAGUUUCACGACGAGGAGAAGAUGAAGGAGCUGGUUCGACUCUAGCUGGUGAGGGGUGCCCAGAUUGCCCUCGCAUUUGUGCGAGUCAACUGCCCAGAGUUGGAUUUCUGGCAAAUUGCUACAUUGCCAGUUACUCUCACCCAGGGUAUAAAGUCAUUCCUGGAGGCUGGGCAGGCGGCGGCGCUGUAGAUGAUCCAGCAAUGGGAGGCAGCUGAGGAGGAGACCCUGCCUGUCGUAGGUAGUCAUGUAGUUUUUUUCCUCUCUUUUUUUGUAACGACUAGUCUACCGGGUGCGCGAUCAGCGCUCCCGGUGGGAGUAGCCCCCGAGUGCGGUUGCAACUGUGUGUAGUGGCGACCGGACUCAAGGUUGUAAUGUGAUAUCCUUGAGCAAUGUUGCACCCCUUCUUUUUUUGGAAUGGAGCGCCCUGACUUGCCAAUUAGCGCCGAGUCGAAUUCCGACUUGUGGAAGUCGAAUUUGAGUCGGAUUUGAAGUACUCCUGGUGGGAGUGCCUCGCAGUCGAAUAUAAAUAGCCGAGUGCAGACUCGAACGUACUAGCCAGCGCAAGGGAUUUGUCCUGCUGAUUAGCACUUGGGCCUUGGAAGAAGAUAUGGAUUCCUCCGAUGCACUCGAGGUUAUGCAUAUCCGUUUGGGACAUGUGAGGAAUACCACCUCGCGCAGGCAUGGGAGGAGAUUUCCUUGCUCAAGUCGGAGAAUCGGGCCGCAUCGGGUCGAGAGGAUUUAAUUUCCUCAGGGAAAAUGUGAAGGUUGAAGCUGAAUGUGUAAAGAGUCGUCUUGAUGCUUUAGCACGAUCUGGUUCGGAGAACCCAUCCUUCUAGUCAAAACCGCGACAAGGGUUAUGCCCUUGCGCUUCUGCAAGAUCGAGUUGCAAGAGCAGUGAUCUGCCUGAAGUCCUGCAGUCACUGUUUGACAGAGGUUCACCAUAACUUGUUUCCGGAGCUUCGUGUCCCUGUUGACCUGAAGGGAUUAAUCGAGAGAUUUUGUGAAGGAGCAGUAGUGAGGGGGGCUACUCAUGAACAAUUGGUGGAGGGUGUUGUGCUGGCUCUCUCGUUUGUUCGUUUUCGCUACCCCUCAUUGAAUCUGGACUCCCUGCAUUUGACUCCCUCUUACAUUCCAGACGAUGCUCAGCUUGGACCGAUUUACGACAUGAUGGAGAACACGACAUGUCAGCUGGUGACUCUUAUGGCCUUGGAGUAGAGUAGGCUUUGAUACUCGUUUAAAUAUGUAGGCGUAGUUGUCUGAGUAGUAUUUUUACCGGGUGCGCGACCAGCGCUCCCGGUGGGAGUAGCCCUCGGGUCUGUGCAUGACUGGUUUGCAGUCAUGUGGAGACCCAAAUACUUUGAAAUCUUUUGUAAUUGAAAACUGUUAGCAUCGUUGAAGAUGCCGCACCUUCUUGUUCUGUACUUCCAUUGAUCUUGUAUGAGAAAACAUUAUGAUUCCAAUUUUGCUUGCUUGGAAACUGCCGACCAUUGAAUGAUUGUGCUGAUGUUUGUUUACGCGAUAGCCCGUGAAUGCCGGCUGCAUACAACGAGAGUUUUUUAAAGUCGAUUGAACGCAGCCUCCGAGCGUGGGGUGCGACCAAUGACAAUGUCUGCGGUCGACGGGACACAGCCCCCGAGUGUCGAGUGUGUCCAAUGAUAAGUUUGGGUCGAUUGGACGCAGCCCCCGAGUGUCGGGUGCGUCCAAUGACAGUUUAGGUCGAUUGGACGCAGUCCCCGAGUGUCGGGUACGUCCAAUGACAAGUUUGGGUCGAUUGGACGUGUAACAUACCGGUUCUCGGCAUUUCCAAAAUCUAUUUCCUAAAAAUGACUACUUGAAAAUUUCGCUGAAUUAAACAAAGCUUAACUGGAAAUUUCUUGAAUCUUUGGUUCUAAAUUGAAUUUACACCGACUAAAUAUGAAUUUGAUUUAUACACUUUCUCAUUUGGUUUGCUUAUAUUUUAUUUGGAUUCUCCAUGUUCAAAUAUGCACUUUUAAAUCUCUCUGGAAUUCAUCUCGAAGUUGAUUUGAUGUUUGAGAAGUUCAUUCGAUCUCUUAGCUUCUGUAAAAAUAAAAAAGCAUUUCCUCUUUCUUUUUAGCUUUGGCUGAAAUCCCCAGCCGCAACCCAUCUUCCUUCUCUCUCCCGUAGCCCACUUCUGGCCGAACUGCUCCAGACUACCGUGCCUUGCUUCUAUUUUCUCCCGCGUGUGUUUAAUCUCCAGAGGACGAAGGAGAACUGCCAUCUCCUCGACGCCAGUGUAACUCGAGCUACCUAGAACGAUCGUAUUCAGAGGGAGCUCACGCGAGGAAGACAAGAGUUUUUGCGCUGCUCAAACUUCCGCAGCUUUUCUGGCAUUUUUCAUUCCCCUUUUUAUUCAGACGUUACAUGCAAAACAGAAAAUGGGGAGAGCAAGCCGCGCCAUGAUCCGCUGAUCCCGCGCCAUCCCACGGCCGAGUCAUGGCGCACAUCCCGCUCCUCCACAACGGCCACACUAUAGGCACGCCCAUGCAAACGUACGCAGACAUGCUGGGACGUGUUAUGCUAACAGAAAACAAACUAACAACUGAAAGCAAAGAUGUUUAACAUGCACGAGUUUACUAACAAAACACUCCCUAAACUCGUGCACCUACUUUAUUUGGAUCAUACCAAUCUUCGAGCGCAAUUCCUGGAAUCUGACGCGGCCAAGGGACUUGGUCAGGAUAUCAGAGAGCUGCGCCUCAGUUCGGAUGAACUCCACUUCAGCCUGGCCUUUCUCAACGCACUCCCGUAUGAAGUGAAAUCGAGUGUCGAUGUGUUUGCUCCUGUCGUGGAACACAGUAUUCCGGCUGAGAGAGAUCGCCGACUUGUUGUCGACGAACAACUUGAUGCAGGCCGCCUCUUCCUUCUUCAGUUCACCGAAAAGACGAGCUAGCCACACUCCCUGAGAGACAGCAGUGGUCACCGCAAUGUAUUCGGCUUCACAAGAUGAGAGCGCCACCACCUUCUGCUUGGUUGACUGCCAGGUAAUCGGACUUGUUCCGAGGAAGAAGAGGACGCCGUGGUGCUUUUGCGGUCGUCUAUGUCGCCAGCCAAGUUGCUGUCGCUGUAACCGACAAGGUUGGCGUCGCCGUUUGCUCCUCGUGCAAACUUGCAGCCAUAGUUCAGGGUCC